This 77535-nucleotide long non-coding RNA is filed under the name Triticum aestivum (bread wheat). RNAcentral describes it as "long non-coding RNA (TAES_LNC024727)". The record is from RNAcentral. Lineage: Eukaryota; Viridiplantae; Streptophyta; Magnoliopsida; Poales; Poaceae.
AAGGCCUCUGAUAUCCUGGGUUUCAGGUUAUGACUCCAGUGUGAAGGCCUCUGAUAUCCUGGGUUUCCUGGUGCCAAGUUGGCUGGAUUAAGAUGAAGUAUUGGCGUGAGGUGAAUGCAUUCUGCUGUUUGCUCGUAGAAAUAGCCUAGUGACAAUUAUGAGAAAUUUCUAGCUUUCAAAGAUGGAUUAUGCAUCUGCGUGUGCUGUGAAGCUUUUAAGCACUGAACCUGGUCAGCUCGAUGUUGGAUACUUCCAUUGUAAUGUUUAGAAUCUUUUUUUCUUCACUUGCAUGUUUUCAACCGGAACGCAGCUGUAGCAUGCUCCAGGCAUCCAAACUGGCAGCAUGUUUACGAGUCGCUGGAUCACAAUGAUAGGUGUCGAGGACUUAGGAUAGAGUUUGCUAUCUAUCCUUUUUUUUCCCUCAAAAAAAAAGGAUAGAGAGGAUAGAGUUUGCUAUGCCAUCCCCAGCCCUGUCGAAAAAGGCAACUUUUGCCGCUCCCCUUCCCCCUCACCCAAGGGUGUGUGCUUUCCGUUUGCCAUCCGCGCUGCCCCUCUUCCCCAUCCGUUUAACCCUAAACCCUUGCAUCAACCUGCCCCUCUUCCCCAUCCCUUUAACCCCCCUUGCAUCAACAUAGGGUUCCAGACAGGAAACUUGGAUAGUUCACUGUUUUCCAACCAAAUUCCGUGUAUAUAGCGAGGAGAUCUUUCUAAAAACUUCAACUUACAUGUACAGACGCACGAUCAAUUUAAUCUAUACAUAGAUUCAGAAAAUAUAUAUAGGAUGUAGGCUCUAGCUGUAAGAAAUAGUUGCCACUUGUACACCAAAAGAGUCCAGACCACCACAUCAUAUUGCACUGACGCCAACAAAAGCAGCUACUUAAUUCCUUAAAAUACAUGCAACAAGAAAUUAUCCCAAACCCAAACAACAUGAAUGACGAUCCAUGGGUGGGAGGGGUGGGGGUGCUCUGCUUUGAGCAACAUCAGAAACAGAGCGCCAUUGCACAACAGUACUCCAGCAAAAACAACUUGUAGUAGGAGGAGAACACCCUGACCACGCCACAACUCGUUGUUCGCAGCAGGCACCUCCUGUGGUCGGGUUUUGGAGGUAAUCUGCAGGACUACGAGCAUCAAGUUAGUUAGUUUUUUUUUUUUUUUUUGCGGGGAAGCAUCAAGUUAGUUAUAUUUUAAAACAAUGUAUCAGGUUAGUUCGCCUACUGAACGGUUACGACAGUGACAAGAGUAGUGGUCUUAUUUACAAAGAAAAGGCACAUCCAUUUAGUGAUAAACCUUCUGUAAAUUAUGCGCAACACCUAAGGCACCAAAGACUAAGUACGUGUUUACCUUAUCUCCCUCCAAGAUAUGCCUCCUAAACUCCGUGAAGGCUUGCAGCCACUUCAUGCAUGUUGGGGCGCUCACUCGGGGACAACUUGGUGCAGCAAAGUCCAACGUUUAGCACCGAGACUAAACAGUCCAAAUCUUUUUCCUUGGUGGCUACUGGACGAUCUUGUAGCAAGUCAGAGUCAACAAUCUGUGAUAUCCCAGCAGGAAAAUUCAUCUCCACAAAGUUUGUGAUGCUCAGUCCAUCCUUGAACAUAUCUUCUGUCGGUCUCUUCCUCAAAAAUGUUUCCAACAGAAUAAUCCCAUAGCUAUAAAUGUCCCCGGCAACUGAAACUUCACCACCAGUUGCCCACUCUGUAACAGCACGUACGACAAUAGUUUAGUCAAAAUAUUAACAUAAGCAUCACAAAUAAGGAGUCAUUUUCAAGUUAUGCUGUACCAUAUAUGGCACAACAUGAAAAACGAACAACAGACAUCACCUGGAGCGACAUAUCCGAUCGUUCCUUUUAUUACAGUCGAAGAAGCAGAGUUUGAGUCACCGAAAUAUGACUGUGUCGGACCAGCUUUGAACCUCGCAAGGCCAAAAUCUCCAACGUGAGCUGUCAUAUUAUCAUCCAAAAGAAUGUUGCUAGGCUUCAAAUCACAAUGAACAAUAGCACCUUGGUUGUCAUGGUGGAGGUACUCCAGUGCAUCUGCUACAUCCACCACAAUGCUCAACCUUUGAGCUAGUGUAAUGCGCUCUGAAUUUGAAGUGUUUUCAUCUCCCAAAGCUGAGUACAGUAGUGCGUGCAAGUCACCCUUUGGCAUGAAUUCAUAUACUAGGGCUUUGAAAUCAUUCCCUUUAGAAUCGAUACUCGAGCAAGCAGUUAGGAUAGGAUCCAGAUUCCGGUGCCGCACAUUUCUCAAAGCAUUGCAUUCCGCAAUGAAGCUCUUUUGUGCUCCUCUUGUCUCUAGGGUGAAAACUUUAACAGCAACAAUAGUUCCAUCUUGCAACAGUCUACCUUUGUACACAGAACUGUAUCCUCCUCUGCCAAUCAAGUUGGAUGUGGAGAAGCCAUCAGUUGCUCUAUCAAGAUCGUGGCAAGAAACUCUGGGAAACUUUCGACCAAAAGAAGGGAGAGACAUGUAAAUCUUCUUCCGUUUUCUCCUCCAGAAUAGCAAGACAGAUAUGACCACAGCAAGUGACACCAUGCUGACUAAUGGGAUCACUACUUUGAGCACUGUUGAUGUCACGUGCUUAGUUGAAUUCGAAGGUAUGACAGGGCAGGCCGGUAGGUGUAACUUCGCUGCACCACCGCAAAGCCCCUUGUUCCCAUCUACCCAUAAAGCAGUCACAUUCUUGAAUAUGCCUAUUUCUGGGACUUCGCCUCCGAGACGGUUGAAUGACAAAUCUAGUUGUUCAAGAUACAUCAGGCUGCCAAUAGAUUUCGGUAUGGAUCCUGAUAAGCGGUUGUGAGACACAUUGAGUACUUGCAAGUUUCUGAUGCUGCCUAGUGACGCUGGAAUGCUUCCACUAAGAAAAUUCUGAUCCAACUCAAUGUAUUCCAUACUGUCACAGUUGCCCAGUGUGUCAGGGAUGCCACUGGACAGGUUAUUAGAUGAAAGAUACAAGUACUGUAGUUGCUUGGCACGGCCUACUUCAGUAGGAAGUGGUCCACCUAGGCUAUUUGAAGAUAGCGCAAUUUCUCUAAUUGUAGGAAUGCUGAAUAUCUCCUUUGGAAUGCUACCAUCAAGAAUGUUAUUGGAAAGUUCCAAUGACUCAAGGGUUUUGAGGUUUCCCAAACUCGGGGGUAUAUGCCCAUACAACUGGUUAGAAUCCAAAAAGAGUUCCCCCAGUAGAGAUAAAUUAGAGAGGGAAGAUGGAAUAUAUCCUGUAAAAGCGUUGUUCCUUAAUACGAUAACCCGCAAGCUCUCUAGAGUUCCUAGCCAUUCUGGAAUGACACCGGUAAACUGGUUUUCAUCCAAUGCCAAAAACUCCAGGCUGUGAAGGUUAGCUAUACCGGCAGGGAAACCCCCUGAUAGUCUGUUCCUUCCGAAGAAGAACAUUUCAAGUUUGGCAGAAAGGUUGGCAAAUGUAUCUGAUAACCGUCCUUCAAGACGAUUCCCACGCAGCGACAAUUUCUGUAGCUCAGUGCAAUUGCUUAGACUAUUCAUAAACUCCCAGUCUUGCUUGUCAUGUGCUUGUAACUGAUUGUAUUCAAGAUUCAACCAGGAGAGCUCUUUAAGUUUGCCAAUAGAACUAGGCACCACCCCAGUGAAAUUAUUACUCAACAAAUCAACCAAGGACAGCUUAGAAGCAUUCACCAGCGAAUUUGGGAUAGGCCCGUCAAACAAGUUGUUAAAUAAACCAAACUUUUGAAGAUUGGGUGAUGAACUACCAAGGUUGGAUGGCAGUUGGCCACUUAGAUAGUUGGAGGCAAGGCUUAGUACAGCAAGAGAAGACACAUUGAGGAUGGCUGGUUGGAACCUUCCUGAUAGCUUAUUUCCCCAGGCGAAAAAGAACUGCAGCAUGGGCAUAUUUCCGAUUUCACUUGGGAUCUCGCCACUGAUCCGAUUUGACGAGACAUCAAGUCGAGUUAGUGUUGUGACGUUAAAAAGUGAAACGGGAAUUUUGCCGGUAAGAUUGUUAUAUGAAAUCAGCAGGCUUUGAAGGUGAGGAGGAAAAUUGGCAUGUGUAGGGAUUUUUCCAACUAGGUGAUUGCGAUCCAGCCAUAGCAUCUGCAGACUAGAACAAUUUGCGAAGUCUGGUAUCUCACCCUCGAGUGUGUUAUUACUCAAGUAGAGAUUCUGGAGGUGCUGCAGGUGACCAAGGGACGCAGGGAUUUGUCCAAUGAACAGAUUGCGUGGUAGCGAUAGAUUUCUUAGAAAUGUAAGAUUUCCGAGUGACAGAGAGAUGCGCCCUUGUAAGCCUCGACCGCUGAGGUCGAGGGAAGUGACGCGAUGUCGAUUCUUAGGCCUACACGAGACACCUUCCCAGUUACAGAAAUCCGAGCUGUCAUUCCAGGACAUGAGAGCUUGCUGGGGAUCAAGACUGAUUGCCUCCUUGAAUUCAAGCAGUGAUAACCGAUCUGUCGCAUUUCCAUGUGAGGAGCAGACGACGACAUGGGUACUGCAAGCCACAAGUGCCAAGAGAAACUGUCCAACUGCAAUAACCAUCAUGGCUGGAUUUCUUUCUUUGUCCAAUUUAGAGCUUCAUUAUAUGCAUAAAUAAUACAAGCGGCAAAAAAUUAGAUAGGCAACAAGUGUUGGCAAAUACUAUAUGGAAUUGUUGGUGAGUGAAGUACCUGAAAGACUACCCUGCCCUAUCAGGAACCAACUCUUCCUCUCUGUUCCAUCAGCAAGAUUAAGCACAAGUCAAAAGUAGAGUCACUGAAUGUUGAAUAUUACUAUAACUGCGCUUUACUAAUCGAAUUGCCAUUCGGAUACUGUGUGUGUGUAGGACACAGAAACUUUCCUAGCAAGAGUUGACCUCUUAUUUAUACUACUUUUGUGGUAAGCUUUUAUGUACAUCUAUCAGGAAAACAUGUUUGUAUCAACUAGCAAGCACCGUAAUAUAUAAUCAUCACCAAAACACAGACCAACGCGUAUAAAAUUGCGUUUCAUGCUGAUUAGAAACUCGUGUUUUCUCGAUCUGGAAAAGAGGUUAUAUACAAACUCAAAGAUAAGCUAGACAUUUGUGCCCUUCAAGUUGUUGUUGGCCAUUACCCACCACUUAUUGGACAUUUGGAAAAUGAAGAGAGUGAUCUGAAGUUGUACACUAUGCAGCAAGACUGCAAAAGCAUGUCAUCUUAACUGUAGAAACACUGAAACAGUAUGUAACUCACCAUGCUUUUGCACCACCUCCUUCAGAGAGAGCCUGCAUGCGUACUUUUGUUGGAUAGCGGCGAUAGGCCUAUAUAAGUUCUUUACUAGCUGCUUAGAGCGAUACACGCUUCAUUUAUAGGCGAACCAAGUAUCUACCACUGACAAGCUAUAAUGUCAACGUGUUUUUUUUAUAUUAUCUAAAAGAAUGUAUUCUUCUUUCUACAGUCCAGUCCCUAUCCAUGGAACCAGUCAAAGACGGCUUCCCAUGGAUUCUUUCUACAGUCCAGUCCCUAUCCAUGAAACCAGUCAAAGACGGCUUCCCAUGGUGAUCAGUAGCAUUAUUGACACAAUUUCAACAAAGAAAGUGAUUAAUAAUAAUAUAUUAUAUUAUAAAAGGGUCCGUCUAAGGCACAUCUAAGUGACUCAAUCAAGUAUAAGAAGGAAAAACAAAAGACAAAAGGAAAAUACCCACACGAAUCUCCGUGUAAAAUCAAUGACGUGGGACUUAGAUGUGCAAUACUUACGGCACAUCUAGAUGUGCUUUAACAAAACUGAUACUUUUGAGGUAUGUGUCACAAAAGUUACAUCAUUAAAUUUGUAUUAAAAUAUACUAUACUAAAUCACCGACACUUAUUUUGAGACGGAGGGAGUAGUUUUCAAUAAUAAUACAAUUUUCAUAACAUGUGCUUAAUAUUAUUAUUGAUCAAAUUGAUGGUCAAUGUUUAACCAUGAAACUUUAAUGCCAAAGUUUUUUUGAUAGGGUCAAAGUGUUUCUUCUUCAUUCUAUAAAAGGUUAUUUUUCUUUCUUCGGGUUAAUGCAUAUCAAUACAAUCAGUCGAAGACAACUUUCCUACCCGUAGCUAUUGACUCCCUCUCUAUAAUGGAACUUGGAAAACGAUGGCCUUUUUCGUGAAAAUCAAACUUGAAUAGACUUGACUUUGGUGGCCCAUAUAUAAUAAUUUCCACAUCAAGUGGAGCCACGAUGCUCUCCUACGGAAAGAAAAAUCUUCGUGUGUUUCCAUCCGGUCACGUAUUUUGAGACUUCAUCUUAACCAUUACUUAUUAGUUUGAUAAAAAUAAUAGGGUAUGAGUAAAAGAAUUAUAUCUUCACGCCACUACAAAACAUGAUACCAGUGGCAUACGCAAAACAAGUACCAGUGACGGGUAGGCGCAUGCCACUUGUUUCCUGCCAUUACCAUCGAUAAUACAACUAUCAGUGGCCUGCGGGCAUGAUAGGCCGCCACUUGUGAAAGACCGUAGCGGUGGUGAGCACGUCUUCCCACCCAUUGGUAAGGCCGCCCAUGUCAAAUUAUGACGAUGUCAUGACAACGUUCUUUUACUGUCCUGCCGAUAUUUUGAGUGAAUAGCAUAAAACUACCACAAUUCGCGUUACGGUUCUAAAAAACUACCAGAAAUUUGUUUGUGACUAAUACCUACCACUUUCGGUGUCGGCUGUUUCAAAAAAACCCAAAUGGGUGAGUGGUUAACACCUGAUCAGGUUUAUGACAGCUGGGGCCUACCCGUAAGAUGACCGUUUGUUAGACCGUUUGUUUGACCGUUAACUUACAUGUAGGGCCUACAUGUCAGCGUCUCUUCCACAUAUUAAAAAAAUGCAAUCCCUCAAUUAGCAAUCGGGUCCCUAAAAAAUAAAAUAAAAAGCAAUCGGGUCCCUGAAAAAUAAAAUAAAAAGCAAUCGGGUCCCCGCCGGCGAGCUCGUCGCCAGAGCCGAUGUGGGCGUCGGCUAGCCUUCAGCAGCGCGUCCCCGAUGCUCUGCUGCACGCGGUGGAGCUCGAGGUCGUCCAUGCUGCCCUGUUGCACGCGGUAAAGCUCAAGGGCUCCCUGCUGUCGGCUGCAGGAGAAGCAGCCAUGGCGAGCUCCACCGGAGAUUGGGCCGGGCGGCGCACGCGCCAUAGGAGGUGAGCUACGGGGAGGAGGGAGGAGGCGUGGGUGGUGGAGCUGCUCGCCGGUUGCCUUCGCGCCCGUGGCGGUGGCCAGCCGUAGCCCGUCGUUGUGGCCGGCCGUGAGCGGUGGCUGACUGUGAGCCUUCCCGCACGUCGGCCGACAUCCCACGCGCGUCUUCCGGCGGCCGAGGAGAGAGGUAGGCUGGGGAGGGUCGUCGGCGGGUCGGGAGGUGAGAGGGUCGUCGCCUGGUCGGGAGCAGAGGAGAGAAGAGAGAGAUCGAUGGAGUUGAGCGGAGAAGAAAGACAAAGAGGAAGAUGAAGCUUACAUGUGGGCCCCACAUGUAAGUUAACGGUCAACCUAAACAAUCAAACAACGGUUUGUUUAGGAGUGGGCCUGACUUGUCAUAAACCAGAUCAAUUUUGAAUCACAUGGUGAUUUGGGUUUUUUGAGACAACCGACGUCAAUUUUGGUAGGUAUUAGUCACAAACAAAUUUCUGGUAGUUUUUUGGAACCGUAACGCGAAUUGUGAUAGUUUUAUGCUAUUCACUCCGAUAUUUUGCAUAUGACGACACAUUGCAUUGCAUGACGUAGAUAAAUUGAUGUAUAAAUAUGCAACCAUGCAUCCAUAUAUCGGGAUUGCAAUACUACAAAGAACGAUACAAGCUUCAUUUAUAGGCGAACCAAUUAUCUACCACCGACAAGCUAUAAUGUGAAUGUGUUUUUCUUUAUUAUCUAAAAAAUGUAUUCUUCUUUCUACAGUCCAAUCCCUAUCCAUGGAACCAGUCAAACGCAGCUUCCCAUUGUCAUUAGUAGCAGUAUUGACACAAUUUCAACAAAGAAAGUGAUUAAUAAUAAUAUAUUAUAUUAUAAUACGGUCCGCCUAAGACACAUCUAAGUGACUCAAUCAAGUAUAAGAAGGAAAAAAAUAAAAAAGGAAAAUACCCACACAAUCUCCGUGUAAGAUCAAUGACAUAGGACUUAGAUGUGCAAUACUUCCGACACAUCUAUAUAUGCUUUAGCAAAACUCCUACUUUUGAGGUAUGUGUCACAAAAGUUAUAUCAUUCAAUUCGUAUUAAAAUAUACUAUACUAAAUCAGCUACACUUAUUUCGGAACGGAGGGAGUAGUUUUCAAUAAUAGUAUAAUUUUCAUAACAUGUGAUAAUAUUAUUAUUGAUCAAAUUGAUGAUCAAUGUUUAACCAUGAAACUUUAAUGUCAAAGUUUUUUUGAUAGGGUCAAAGUGUUUCUUCUUUAUCUAUAAAAGGUUAUUUUUCUUUCUUCAGUUUAAUGCAUAUCAAUACAAUCAGUCAAAGACAACUUUCCUACCAGUAGUUUGCUGCUAUUGACUCCCUCUCCAUAAUGGAACUUGGAAAACAACGGCCUUUUCCGUGAUAAUCAAACUUGAAUAGACAUGACUUUAGUGGCCCAUAUAUAAUAAUUUCCACAUCAAGUGGAGCCACGAUGCUCUCCUACGGGGAAAAAAUCUCCGUGUCUUUCCAUGCCGGUCACGUAUUUUGAGACUUGAUUUUAACCAUUACUUAUUAGUUUGAUAAACAAAUAGGGUAUGAACAAAGGAACUAUAUCUUCACGCCACUACGGAGCAUGAUACCAGUGGCAGACACAAACAAGUACCAGUGGCGGGUAGGCGCACGCCACUGGUAACCUGCCAUUACCAUCGAUAAUACAACUAUCAGUGGCGUGCGGGCAUGAUAGGCCGCCACUUGUGAAAGACCCUAGCAGUGGUGAGCAUGUCUUCCCACCCAUUGGUAAGGCCGCCCAUGUUAAAUUAUGACAUUGUCACGACAAUGUUCUUUUACUGUCUGGGUUUAACUGGGCUCUGGUUGCGGUUUAUGGGGCUGCGCAGCCCGAGCUCAAGCCCGAUUUCCUGGCUGAUCUAGUUCGGAUAUGUGGUUCCGAGCAGUUGCCGUACCUGGUGGGGGGUGAUUUCAAUAUUAUUAGAAGGCGUGAGGAUAAGAACAAUGAUAACUUUGACGGCAGAUGGUCGUUCAUGUUCAAUACUAUCAUUGAAAGUUUGAACCUGAGAGAAAUUGAGCUCUCGGGCAGAAAAUUCACCUGGGCUAAUGCGCUGCCAAAUCCGACGUAUGAGAAGUUGGAUCGUGUGUUGGCUAGUGUCGAGUGGGAACAGAAGUUUCCUCUAGUAACAGUCCAGGCCUUGUCCCGUGGUUUUUCUGACCACACGCCGCUUUUUGUGGACUCUGGUCAGCCCUCCCACUUGGGGAACAAGAAUGUGUUCUCCUUUGAGAUGGCUUUGUUUGAACGUGAAGGCUUCCUGGAUCUCGUGGCUAGAGAGUGGGCUAAGGAUUCAGGAGGAAAGACUGCACUUCAGCGCUGGCAGAAUAAGAUCAGGCACUUGAGGAGUUUCCUGCGUGGAUGGGCUAACCAUCUUAGCGGGAUUUAUAAGGUUGAAAAGGAAAGGCUUCUGUCCCUUAUUCAGUCCCUGGAUGUAAAAGCAGAAACCACGCUUCUGCCAGUCGCGGAGCUUCAUGCCAAGCUGGACGCGGAAUUGAGGCUGAAAGAACUUCUUAGGGAAGAAGAGUUGAAGUGGGCGUUGCGGGCCAAGGUCCGGAGAGUAGUCCAGGGGGACGCGAACACGGAAUUUUUUCACAUGAUUGCUAAUGGUAAGCAUCGAAAGAAGAGGAUCUUUCAGCUUGAGCAAGAUGAGGGUACAAUUGUAGGACAGGAGAACCUAAAAUUGUACAUUACUGAGUUCUAUAAGCAGUUGUUUGGCCCUUCAGAAAAUAACUGUGUGUCUCUGGAUGAGUCCAGGGUUGAGGAUGUUCCUCAGCUCACAGUGGUGGAGAAUGAUGUUCUGACGGCUCCUUUUACCGAGAAAGAGGUAUUUGAGGCCGUUUUACAAAUGGAAAAUAACAAAGCGUCGGGCCCAGAUGGAUUUCCAGCGGAGUUUUAUAAGAAAUGCUGGUUUAUCAUUAAAGGAGAUUUGUUGCCUUUGUUCAAUGAUCUGUUUGCUGGGCAGCUUCAUCUUUUUCAGCUAAAUUUUGGAACGAUCACCCUUCUUCCUAAGAAAACAGAGGCUGUGAGAAUUGAGCAAUUCAGGCCAAUCUGUCUUCUUAAUGUUAGUUUCAAAAUUUUCACCAAGGUCGGGACCAAUAGGCUCUCACAGAUCGCGCAUGCUGUUGUGCAGCCUACCCAAACUUCCUUCAUGCCGGACAGGAACAUCCUUGAGGGUGUUGUGGUCCUACAUGAAACGCUCCAUGAAAUCCACACGAAAAGCUGGAUGGGGUUGUUUUCAAAGUGAAUUUCGAAAAAGCGUAUGACAAAGUCAAAUGGCCUUUCCUUCAACAGGCUUUACGCAUGAAGGGUUUUGAUGAGGCCUGGCGACGCCAGGUAGAAUCCUUUACGCAAAAAGGUAGUGUUGGAAUUAAAGUAAAUGAUGAUAUAGGUCAUUAUUUCCAGACACACAAAGGCCUGAGGCAAGGAGAUCCAAUGUCCCCUAUAUUGUUCAACAUUGUAGUAGAUAUGUUGGCCAUUCUCAUAGGCAGGGCAAAGAACGCCGGUCAGGUAGGUGGCUUGGUGCCGAACCUAGUUGAGGGGGGUGUGUCCAUUUUGCAGUACGCUGAUGAUACAAUCAUCUUCAUGGAGCAUGACUUGGCAAAAGCGAGAAACAUGAAGCUGGUGUUGUGUUUAUUUGAACAAUUGUCCGGUUUAAAGAUUAACUUUCAUAAAAGCGAGUUGUUCUGCUUUGGUAGAGCCAAGGAGGAACAAGAGGCUUAUAGGCAAUUGUUUGGUUGUGAAUUAGGGGCUUUACCUUUUACUUACCUUGGUAUACCCAUUCAUCAUCGUAAGCUCACGAACAGAGAGUGGAAAUGUAUCGAAGAUCAGUUCGAAAAGAAACUUAGUUGCUGAAAGGGCAAACUUCUGUCUUAUGGAGGCCGGUUAAUUCUUAUUAACUCGGUGCUCACAAGUUUGCCGAUGUUCCUCCUAUCUUUCUUUGAGGUUCCAGUUGGGGUUAGGAAAAGGCUGGACUUCUAUCGGUCAAGAUUUUUUUGGCAGAGUGAUGAUCUUAAGAGAAAGUAUAGACUCGCCAAGUGGGAUAUUAUUUGUCGUCCUAAGGAUCAGGGGGGUUGGGUAUCAAGAAUCUUGAGGUCAAGAACAGAUGCCUGCUUAGUAAGUGGCUAUAUAAGUUAUCAGUUGGGACUGAUGCAACUUGGGCACAGAUUCUUAGUAACAAGUAUCUGCAAUCCAAAACUUUGUCACAGGUGACAGUGAGACCAACUGAUUCGCCAUUUUGGAAGGGUCUUAUGAGAGUUAAGGCAGCCUUCUUUAAUAGAACAAAGUUUAUUGUCGGCGAUGGUAACGAUACUCGCUUCUGGGAGGACACUUGGCUUGGUGAGACACCUUUGGCAUUACAGUACCCAACUCUGUAUCGUAUUGUGCAGCACCGUGAUGCGCUUGUGGCAACGAUUAUGCAGGCCACCCCCCUUAAUAUUCAGUUUAGGAGGGUGCUUGUUGGUAAUAGAUGGGAAGCUUGGCUUCAUCUGGUGCGUAGACUGAUGGAGGUUCAGCUACAGCAUCAGCCCGAUCAGUUGUGUUGGAAACUUACUAGGUCUGGAAAAUUUACCGUUAAAUCGAUGUUAUUAACUCGAGUGUCAUUCCUAACUCCAAACAUGUUUGGAAAGUCAAAGUUCCUUUGAAAAUCAAAGUGUUUAUGUGGUUUGUCCAUAAACAGGUCAUUCUAACAAAGGACAACUUGGUUAAGCACAAUUGGACAGGAUCUACUAGGUGUAGUUUUUGUGAUCGGGAUGAAACCAUCAAGCAUCUAUUCUUUGAGUGCCCGUUGGCAAGAAUUUUGUGGCGCUCCGUGCAAAUUGCUUUUAACAUUACUCCUCCGAGUUCGGCCGGGUCGUUAUUUGGAACGUGGCUGGAUGGGAUAGAGUCCGUUACAGCUAGACACAUUCGUGUAGGAGUUUGUGCGUUGUUAUGGGCAAUUUGGAACUGCAGAAAUGAUUUGGCUUUUAACAGAAUAACUACUAUUCAUUUUUUGCAGGUUGUAUUCCGUGCUACGGCAUUGAUUCGUAUGUGGUCCCUACUCACUCCGACGGAGGCCAGGGAGCGUUUGGUUACUGGAUCUGUCCGGUGGGAGAUGGUAGCGCGGGAUAUCUUCAACCGGUUUGGAUGGCGGUCAUGUAAUAGGAUAGGCAAUUAGUUUUCCUACCUUUAUUUCUGCCAGCCGGUUGUGGCUUUAUGGCCUUUUUUGUUUUCGUGUCGAGGUCUAUGUGAGCUCGACGUUGCUUUCUUUUACGACUAUUCGACAUUGUUGAACCUAUUUUAUUUAUCUAAGUGGCCGUAUGCAUCGACCUGAUGCAGAGGCCGGGGAGUCCCCCCUUUUCCAAAAAAAAAUGCCGAUAUUUUGCAUAUGACGUCACAUUACAUUGCAUGAUGUAGAUAAAUUGAUGUAUAAACAUGCAAACAUGCAUCCAAAUAUCGGAAUUGCAAUACUAAAUGGAACGAUACAAGCUUCAUUUAUAGGCGAACCAAGUAUCUACCACCGACAAGCUAUAAGGUCAACGUGUUUUUUCUUUAUUACCUAAAAAAACGAAUUCUUCUUUCUAUAGUCCAAUCCCUAUCCAUGGAACCAGUCAAAGGCGGCUUCCCAUGGUGAUUAGUAGCAGUAUUGACACAAUUUCAACAAAUAAAGUGAUUAAUAAUAAUAUAUUAUAUUAUAAUAGUGUCUGCCUAAGGCAUAUCGAAGUGACACAAUCAAGUAUAAGAAGGAAAAUAAAAAUAAAAAGGAAAAUACCCACACAAAUCUUCGUGUAAGAUCAAUGAAAUAGGACUUAGAUGUGCAAUACUUACGGCACAUCUAUAUAUGCUUUAGAAAACUGAUACUUUUGAGGUAUGUGUCACAAAAGUUAUAUCAUUCAAUUCAUAUUAAAAUAUACUAUACUAAAUCAGCGGCACUUAUUUUGGGACGGAGCGAGUAGUUUUCAAUAAUAGUAUAAUUUUCAUAACAUGUGAUAAUAUUAUUAUUGAUCAAAUUGAUGAUCAAUGUUUAACCAUGAAACUUUAAUGUCAAAGUUCUUUUGACAUGGUCAAAGUGUUUCUUCUUUAUUCUAUAAAAGGUUAUUUUUCUUUCUACAGUUUAAUGCAUAUAUCAAUACAAUCAGUCAAAGACAACUUUCCUACCUGUAGUGGUUGCUAUUGACUCCCUCUCCAUAAGGGAACUUGGAAAACAACGGCCUUUUCCGUGAAAAUCAAACUUGAAUAGACUUGACUUUAGUGGCCCAUAUAUAAUAAUCUCCACAUCAAGUGGAGCCACGAUACGAGAGAAAAUAUAUCCGUGUGUUUCCAUGCCGGUCACGUAUUUUGAGAUUUGAUUUUAACCAUUACUUAUUAGUUUAAUAAAAAUAAUAGGAUAUGAGUAAGAGAAUUAUAUCUUCACACCACUACGGAACAUGAUACCGGUGGCAGACGCAAAACAAGUACCAGUUGCGGUAGGCGCACGCUACUAGUAACCUACCAUUACCAUCGAUAAUACAACUAUCAGUGGCGUGCGGGCAUGAUAGGCCGCCACUUGUGAAAGACCCUAGCGGUGGUGAGCAUGUCUUCCCACCCAUUGGUAAGGCCGCCCAUGUCAAAUUAUGACGUUGUCGCGACAAUAUUCUUUUACUGUCCUGUCGAUAUUUUGCAUAUGACGUCACAUUACAUUGCAUGAUGUAGAUAAAUUGAUGUAUAAACAUACAAACAUGCAUCCAUAUAUCGGUUGCAAUACUACACGGAAAGAUACAUGCUUCAUUUAUAGGCGAACCAAAUAUCUACCACCGACAAGCUAUAAUGUCAACAUGUUUUUUCUUUAUUAUCUAAAAAAGUAUUCUUCUUUCUAUAGUCCAAUCCCUAUCCAUGGAACCUGUCAAAGGCGGCUUCCCAUGGUGAUUAGUAGCAGUAUUGACACAAUUUCAACAAAAAAAUUGAUUAACAAUAAUAUAUUACAUUGUAAUAGGGUCUGCCUAAGGCACAUCUAAGUGACUCAAUCAAGUAUAAGAAGGAAAAUAAAAAAUAAAAAAGGAAAAUACCCACACAAUCUCCGUGUAAGAUCAAUGAUAUAGGAUUUAGAUGUGCAAUACUUACGGCACAUCUAUAUAUGCUUUAGCAAAACUGCUCACUAGUAGAAAACGACCCAUUUAUCCGGUUUCAGAGGCCCUUUAGCCCUGGUUCUGGAACGGGGACUAAAACCCAAAACCUUUAGUCCCGGUUCGCUUACGAACCGGGACAAAAGGGGCUCCACGUGGCCGCUGCGGGGCGCGCAGGCAGGAGGACCUUUAGUCCCGGUUGGUAGGCAUCCAAGCGUCAGCAGCUGGCAGGAGCUGGGGUUUUUAUNNNNNNNNNNNNNNNNNNNNNNNNNNNNNNNNNNNNNNNNNNNNNNNNNNNNNNNNNNNNNNNNNNNNNNNNNNNNNNNNNNNNNNNNNNNNNNNNNNNNNNNNNNNNNNNNNNNNNNNNNNNNNNNNNNNNNNNNNNNNNNNNNNNNNNNNNNNNNNNNNNNNNNNNNNNNNNNNNNNNNNNNNNNNNNNNNNNNNNNNNNNNNNNNNNNNNNNNNNNNNNNNNNNNNNNNNNNNNNNNNNNNNNNNNNNNNNNNNNNNNNNNNNNNGGGGUUAGGGGGUUUUGGAGGAUUAAUUUAGGGGUUUCAUAUAUUGUGUUAGCUAGCUAAUAGAGAGAAGUGUCCUGUCUUUCUUCGUGCUUGGUCGAUGCUAGCUACUAUAUACAUAUAGAGAGAACUCGACAUGCUAGCUAGUAAGCAAAUGAAGGAACCAUUAAUUACACAAGAUCGUCAUGAACAUAUACAAAGAGGAGUGACCUCUCUUUCUCCGAGAGAUUGGUCGAACAACAAGUUUUCGUAUAUCUAUCUGACGCUACUAGCUACAUAUAUACAAUAUAAGAUCUCUUACAAUCCCUAACAUCUCAUGUCUAUAUCAAUUUCCACAUGGUAUUCUCCGGCUUUAUGUAUGACGUGGUCAAGAAAGAAUCCCGCCAAUUCCUCUUGAAUUGCUCGUAUGCGAUCAUGUGGUAGGAGUUCAUCCCGUAUCUGCCAGACCUAAUUUAAAGAAAGGGGUCAAUACAUAUAUGAAUGAAACUCAACAAAAAUGAUGGUACUAAAAUAAAAUUGUGAAUAUUAUUGUUUAUGUACUUCAUAUUGUUUUUCAGAGUAGCCCCGAUGAGAGGUCGCGUUGUAGAUGAAUUCGCAAACGUAGUAUCCAUAAAAAUCAUUUCCUGCAUCCUGCCACAAGCACUUUACGAGAAAUAGAGUUCAAUAAAACUGAUAAUCAACCAUGAUAAAUGGUAUUGAUGAAACUAGAAUCAAUGGGAGAUGCACGGAACUAGCUAGUAGUACUUACUUUCGGGUGUGUAAAUCGCAGCUCCCUCGGCAGCCCCGGAACAAUUCCGGUGAACUCUUUCCAAACCCUGCUAGACAAAGAAAAUAAUUACUUGAUGUCAGGAAAUGAACAACGUUGCCGAUAUGGUGCGAUAAUGAUCGAUUGAACUUACUUCUGGAGCAUUUCAGUCAUGUCCGCAUAGUCCUGGGGAUCUUUUCGUCUCGAGUCUAAGACAGUUACUACUCCUUGGUCAAGCUUAAUCUGUAGCAGAAUAAAGUGGAACCUACGCACACAUGCAUAACUCAUCAAUUACAUUACUAUAACCUCGAGUAAGGGAAACCGAAUAUGCACAAGUAACACUCACUUGAAGUUGUAAGGAAAGAGUAUUUUAUCUUUGUUUUGAUUUUUAAGCAACGAUUGUAGCAAGUUGUCCUCGGUAUCCGUGACUCUGUUUUUAACCGUCCAUUCAUGUAUGAUAUUUGGGUUAAUGAACUCAAUGUCAUAGAUUUGUGCUUUUCUGCAUUCGACGGUCUUCAAUCUGCAUAAUAUAGUGUGGAUAAUUAUAUAUACAUGCAAUGAAAGAGCUGAGCUAUAUAUAGAGACUUAAUUAUAGAAGUAGUACUUACAAACAGUAGCAAGUCACGAGUUGUUUGUCGAGGGCCUUUUGAUUGUAUAACUGGAAUAACUCCACAAAUUCAACAGGCAACAGCUCAGUUCCAAUGAGGUCGUACUCCUCUUUAAUUCUCGGCAUCAAACUAUCCUUCCCAGACUCGCUGCAGGUUUUCAUGUACCAUUUAUGCAAUCUUCGCAUCAUCGUUGUUAGAGGAGGAUGAUAGGUUUGACGAGAGGCUGCCCGUACUGGUAUCUGAAUUCGUCCACCGUCACAACAACAUAGCCAUGUGGAAUCGAACGACAGUGAAAAGUUCUGUCAGCUUGAGGAGGUGCAACAGAGCCGACAACCGCCUUCAAAGUCAGGUUCUGCCAUUUCAUCAUAAGCUUGCAAUGUUGAGCCUCCGUGAUAGUAUCCACGCGGUAGCGAGGAGCUGUGAAAUCAGGCUGAAUGAGCUCCGUGGAAGCCACACUGCUUCUCCGCUGAGAUGGUGGGGUAGCUUCUGGGGUAGCUUCGUGCCCCUGAGAUGGUUGGCAGGCAUCUGCAAGUUCCUCUAGCUUAGCUAUUCUUGCAUUGAGCUUCUGCAUUUUGCUCAGCUCCGCUUUCCUCUUUCUCUCACGGCUUCUGUAACCGCCUGAGUCGGGAAACCCAACCACCCACGGAACGGAGCCUGGUGUGCGUCGUGUUCGUCCAGGGUGCUCAGGAUUCCCGAGGGCCUCAGUUAGCUCGUCCUUCUCUCUAUCGGGAAUGAACGUCCCUUCCUGCGCUGCGGUGAUAUAAUCCUGAAGCUUUGAUACGUCUCCAACGUAUCUAUAAUUUUUGAUUGUUCCAUGCUACUAUAUUAUCUGUUUUGGAUGUUUAAUGGGCUUUAUUAUGCACUUUUAUAUUACUUUUGGGACUAACCUACUAACCCAAGGCCCAGUGCAAAUUGCUGUUUUUUGCCUAUUUCAGUGUUUCGCAGAAAAGGAAUAUCAAACGGAAUCCAAAUGGAAUGAAACCUUCGGGGGAGUUAUUUUUGGAACAAACACAAUCCAGGAGACUUGGAGUGGACGUCAAGGAAGCAACAAGGCGGCCACGAGAUAGGGAGGCGCGCCCAGGGGGUAGGCGCGCGCCCCACCCUCGUGGGCCCCUCGUGGCUCCACCACCUACUUCUUUCUCCUAUAUACACUCAUAUACCCUGAAAACAUCCGAGAGCACCACAAGACCCAAUUUCCACCGCCGCAACCUUCUGUACCCGUGAGAUCCCGUCUUGGGGCCUUUUCCGGUGCUCCGCCGGAGGGGGAAUCGAUCACGGAGGGCUUCUACAUCAACACCAUAGCCUCUCCGAUGAUGUGUGAGUAGUUUACCACAGACCUUCGGGUCCAUAGUUAUUAGCUAGAUGGCUUCUUCUCUCUCUUUGGAUCUCAAUACAAAGUUCUCCUCGAUCUUCUUGGAGAUCUAUUCGAUGUAAUUCUUUUUGUGGUGUGUUUGUCGAGAUCCGAUGAAUUGCGGGUUUAUGAUCAAGAUUAUCUAUGAACAAUAUUUGGUUCUUGUCUGAAUUCUUAUAUGUAUGAUGUGAUAUCUUUGCAAGUCUCUUCGAAUUAUCAGUUUGGUUUGGCCUACUAGAUUGAUCUUUCUUGCAAUGGGAGAAGUGCUUAGCUUUGGGCUCAAUCUUGCGGUGUCCUUUCCCAGUGACAACAGGGAAAGCAAGGCACGUAUUGUAUUGUUGCCAUCGAGGAUAAAAAGAUGGGGUUUAUAUCAUAUUGCUUGAGUUUAUCCCUCUACAUCAUGUCAUCUUGCCUAAUGCGUUACUCUGUUCUUAUGAACUUAAUACUCUAGAUGCAUGCUGGAUAGCGGUCGAUGUGUGGAGUAAUAGUAGUAGAUGCAGAAUCGUUUUGGUCUACUUGUCGCGGACGUGAUGCCUAUAUACAUGAUCAUGCCUAGAUAUUCUCAUAACUAUGCGCUUUUCUAUCAAUUGCUCGACAGUAAUUUGUUCACCCACCGUAGAUUAUGCUAUCUUGAGAGAAGCCACUAGUGAAACCUAUGGCCCCCGGGUCUAUCUUCCAUCAUAUUAUUUUCCUAUCAAUUUGCUAUUUCUGCCACCAUUUAUUUUGCAAUCUUUACUUUCCAAUCUAUACAACAAAAAUACCAAAAAUAUUUAUCUUAUUAUCUUUAUCAGAUCUCACUUUUGCAAGUGGUCGUGAAGGGAUUGACAACCCCUUUAUCGCGUUGGUUGCGAGGUUAUUAUUUGUUUGUGCAGGUACAAGGCGACUUGCGUGUAACCUCCUACUGGAUUGAUACCUUGGUUCUCAAAACCCGAGGGAAAUACUUACGCUACUUUGCUGCAUCACCCUUUCCUCUUCAAGGGAAAACCAACGCAUGCUCAAGAGGUAGCAAGAAGGAUUUCUGGCUGUUGCCGGGGAGGCUUACGCCAAGUCAAGUCAAGAUUUGAUCUCCCAGCAACUAGCCAUUUCUGGCACCGUUGCCGGGGAGAUCUACGCACAAGUCAAGACAUACCAAGUACCCAUCACAAACUCUUAUCCCUCGCAUUACAUUAUUUGCCAUUUGCCUCUCGUUUUCCUCUCCCCCACUUCACCUUUGCCUUUUCUUCGCCUUCUUCCCGUAUGUAUCUUUGUUUGUGUUGUUGGAAAUAUGCCCUAGAGGCAAUAAUAAAUAGGUUAUUAUUAUAUUUCCUUGUUCAUGAUAAUCGUUUAUUAUCCAUGCUAGAAUUGUAUUGAUAGGAAACUCAGAUACAUGUGUGGAUACAUAGACAACACCAUGUCCCUAGUAAGCCUCUAGUUGACUAGCUCGUUGAUCAAUAGAUGGUUAUGGUUUCCUGACCAUGGACAUUGGAUGUCGUUGAUAACGGGAUCACAUCAUUAGGAGAAUGAUGUGAUGGACGAGACCCAAUCCUAAGCCUAGCAUGAGAUCGUGUAGUUCGUUUGCUCAGAGCUUUUCUAAUGUCAAGUAUCAUUUCCUUAGACCAUGAGAUUGUGCAACUCCCGGAUACCGUAGGAAUGCUUUGGGUGUACCAAACGUCACAACGUAACUGGGUGGCUAUAAAGGUGCACCACAGGUAUCUCCGAAAGUGUCUGUUGGGUUGGCACGAAUCGAGACUGGGAUUUGUCACUCCGUGUAAACGGAGAGGUAUCUCUGGGCCCACUCGGUAGGACAUCAUCAUAAUGUGCACAAUGUGACCAAGGAGUUGAUCACGAGAUGAUGUGAGUUACGGAACGAGUAAAGAGACUUGCCAAUAACAAGAUUGAACAAGGUAUAGGGAUACCGACGAUCGAAUCUCGGGCAAGUAACAUACCGAUAGACAAAGGGAUUUGUAUACGGGAUUGAUUGAAUCCCCGACAUCGUGGUUCAUCCGAUGAGAUCAUCGUGGAACAUGUGGGAGCCAACAUGGGUAUCCAGAUCCUGCUGUUGGUUAUUGACCGGAGAACGUCUCGGUCAUGUCUGCAUGGUUCCCGAACCCGUAGGGUCUACACACUUAAGGUUCGAUGACGCUAGGGUUAUAGGGAAAGUAUGUACGUGGUUACCGAAUGUUGUUCAGAGUCCCGGAUGAGAUCCCGGACGUCACAAGGAGUUCCGGAAUGGUCCGGAGGUAAAGAUUUAUAUAUGGGAAGUCCUGUUUUGGUCGCUGGAAAAGUUUCGGAUGUUAUCGGUAAUGUACCGGGACCACCGGGAGGGUCCCGGGGGUCCACCAAGUGGGGCCACCAGCCCCAGAAGGCUGCGUGGGCCAAGUGUGGGAGGGGACCAGCCCCAGGUGGGCUGGUGCGCCCCCACGAAGGCCCAAGGCGCAUGGGAGAGUGGGAGGGGGCAAACCCUAGGUCCAGAUGGGCCUUAAGGCCCACCCUAGUGGCGCCCCCUCUCCCCCCUCUUGGCCGCCACCCUAGAUGGGAUUGGGGCUGCCGCCACCCCUGGGGAGGGAACCCUAGGUGGGGGCGCAGCCCUCCCUCUUCCCCUAUAUAUAGUGGAGGCAAAGGGGCAGCCCAACACACGAGAACGUCUCUCUUUCGGCGCAGCCAUACCCCUCUCCCUCCUCCUCCUCUCCCGCGGUGCUUGGCGAAGCCCUGCGGGAUUGCCACGCUCCUCCAUCACCACCAUGCCAUUGUGCUGCUGCUGGACGGAGUCUUCCCCAACCUCUCCCUCUCUCCUUGCUGGAUCAAGGCGUGGGAGACGUCACCGGGCUGCACGUGUGUUGAACGCGGAGGCACCGUUCUUCGGUGCUCAGAUCGGAAUCAACCGCGAUCUGAAUCGCUACGAGUAUGACUCCCUCAUCCGCGUUCUUGCAAUGCUUCCGCAUCGCGAUCUACAAUGGUAUGUAGAUGCACUCCCCUUCCCCUCGUUGCUAUAUUACUCCAUAGAUUGAUCUUGGUGAUGCAUAGAAAAUUUUGAAUUUCUGCUACGUUCCCCAACAGUGGUAUCAGAGCUAGGUCUAUGCGUAGUUUCUAUGCACGAAUAGAACACAAAGUAGUUGUGGGCGUAGAUGUUGCCAAUUCUUCUUGCCGCUACUAGUCUUAUCUUGUUUCGGCGGCAUUGUGGGAUGAAGCGUCCCGGACCGACCUUACACGUACGCUUACGUGAGACAGGUUCCACCGACUGACAUGCACCAGUUGCAUAAGGUGGCUAGCGGGUGUCUGUCUCUCCCACUUUAGUCGGAACGGAUUCGAUGAAAAGGGUCCUUAUGAAGGGUAAAUAGAAAUUGGCAUAUCACGUUGUGGUUUUACGUAGGUAAGAAACGUUCUUGCUAGAAACCUAUACAAGCCACGUAAAAACUUGCAACAACAAUUAGAGGACGUCUAACUUGUUUUUGCAGCAUGUGCUAUGUGAUGUGAUAUGGCCAGAAGAUGUGAUGAAUGAUAUAUGUGAUGUAUGAGAUUGAUCAUAUUCUUGUAAUAGGAAUCACGACUUGCAUGUCGAUGAGUAUGACAACCGGCAGGAGCCAUAGGAGUUGUCUUUAUUUUUUGUAUGACCUGCGUGUCAUUGAAUAACGCCAUGUAAAUUACUUUACUUUAUUGCUAAGCGCGUUAUCCAUAGAAGUAGAAGUAAUCGUUGGCGUGACAACUUCAUAAAGACACAAUGAUGGAGAUCAUGGUGUCAUGCCGGUGACGAAGAUGAUCAUGGUGCCCCGAAGAUGGAGAUCAAAGGAGCAAAAUGAUAUUGGCCAUAUCAUGUCACUAUUUGAUUGCAUGUGAUGUUUAUCAUGUUAUGCAUCUUAUUUGCUUAGAACGACGGUAGCAUAAAUAAGAUGAUCCCUCACUAAAAAAUUUCAAGAGACGUGUUCCCCCUAACUGUGCACCGUUGCGAAGGUUCGUUGUUUCGAAGCACCAUGUGAUGAUCGGGUGUGAUAGAUUCUAACGUUCGAAUACAACGGGUGUUGACGAGCCUAGCAUGUACAGACAUGGCCUCGGAACACAUGCGAAACACUUAGGUUGACUUGACGAGCCUAGCAUGUACAGACAUGGCCUCAGAACACAAGAGAUCGAAAGGUCGAGCAUGAGUCGUAUAGAAGAUACGAUCAACAUGGAGAUGUUCACCGAUGAUGACUAGUCCGUCUCACGUGAUGAUCGGACACGGCCUAGUUUGACUCGGAUCAUGUAUCACUUAGAUGACUAGAGGGAUGUCUAUCUGAGUGGGAGUUCAUUAAAUAAUCAGAUGAACUUCAUUAUCAUGAACAUAGUCAAAAAGGUCUUUGCAAAUUAUGUCAUAGCUUGCGCUUUAGUUCUACUGUUUAAGAUAUGUUCCUAGAGAAAAUUUAGUUGAAAGUUGGUAGUAGCAAUUAUGCGGACUGGGUCCGUGAACUGAGGAUUGUCCUCAUUGCUGCAUAGAAGGCUUAUGUCCUUAAUGCACCGCUCGGUGUGCUGAACCUCAGCGUCAUCUGUAGAUGUUGCGAAACAUCUAACAUACACGUUUUGAUGACUACGUGAUAGUUCAGUGAGUAAUGCUAACGGUUUAGAAUUGUGGCACGAGAGACGUUCUUUGAAAUGUCGCAGAACAUAUGAGAUGUUCCGAAGACUGAAAUUGGGAUUUCAGACUAGUGCCCACGUCAAGAGGUAUGAGACCUCUGACAAGUUUCUUAAACCUGUAAACUAAGGGAGAAAAGCUCAAUCGUUGAGCAUGUGCUCAGAUUGUCUGAGUACUACAAUCACUUGAAUCGAGUGGGAGUUAAUCUUCCAGAUGAGAUAGUGAUGGGUCUCCAUAAUCACUGCCACCAAGCUAUUAGAGCUUCGUGAUGAACUAUAAAUAUCAAGGAUAGAUGAUGAUCCUUGAGCAACUUGCGUUGUUUGACACCGCGAAAGUAGAAAUCAAGAAGGAGCAUCAAUUAUUGAUGGUUAGUAAAACCACUAGUUUCUAGAAGGGCAAGGGCAAAAGGGACACUUCAUGAAACAACAAAUCGUUUGCUGCUCUAGUGAAGAAUCCCAAGGUUGAACCCAAACCCGAGACUGAGUGCUUCUGUAAUGAGGGGAACGGUCAUUGAAGCAGUACUACCCUAGAUACUUGGUAGAUGAGAAGGCAGGCAAGGUCGACAGAAGUAUAUUGGAUAUACAUGUAUACUUUACUAGUACUCCUAGUAGCACCAGGGUAUUAGAUACCGGUUCGGUUGCUAAGUGUUAGUAACUCAAAAUAAAAGCUGCGGAAUAAACGGAGACUAGCUAAAGGUGAGAUGACGAUAUGUGUUGGAAGUGUUUCCAAGGUUGAUGUGAUCAAGCAUCGCAUGCUCCCUCUACCAUCGAGAUUUGGUGUUUGCGUUGAGCAUGAUUGGAUUAUGUUUAUCACAAUACGGUUAUUCAUUUAAGGAGAAUAAUGGUUACUCUAUUUAUUUGAAUAAUACCUUCAAUGGUCUUGCACCUAAAAUGAAUCUCGAUCGUAGUGAUACACAUGUUCGUGCCAAAAGAUAUAAAAUAGUAAUGAUAGUUCCACAUACCUGUGGCACUGCCAUUUGAGUCAUAUUGGUAUAGAACGCAUGAAGAAGCUCCAUGUAGAUGGACCUUUGGACUCACUUGUUUUUGAAAAGAUUGAGACAUGCGAACCAUGUCUAUUGGUAUAUAUGCAUGAAGAAACUCCAUGCAGAUGGAUCGUUUGGACUCACUUGACUUUGAAUCACUUGAGACAUGCAAAUCAUACCACAUGGGCAAGAUGACUGAAAGGCCUCGUUUUCAGUAAGAUGGAACAAGAGAGCAACUUGUUGGAAGUAAUACAUUUUGAUGUAUGCAGUCCAAUGAGUGCUGAGGCAUGCAGUGGAUAUCGUUAUGUUCUUACUUCACAGAUGAUUUGAGUAGAUGCUGGGUGUAUUUACUUGGUGAAACACAAGUUUGAAUUAUUGAAAGGUUCAAGUAAUUUCAGAGUGAAGUUGAAGAUCGUCGUGACAAGAGGAUAAAAUGUCUGUGAUAUGAUCAUAGAGAUGAGUAUCUAAGUUACGAGUUUGGCACACAAUUAAGACAUUGUGGAAAUUGUUUCAACAAUUAAUACCGCCUAGAACACCACAGUGUAGUGGUGUGUCCGAACAUCAUAACUGCACCCUAUUGGAUAUGGUGCAUACCAUGAUGUCUCUUAUCGAAUUACCACUAUCAUUUAUGGGUUAGGCAUUAGAGACAACCGCAUUCACUUUAAAAGGGGCACCACGCAAUUCCGUUGAGACGACACCGUUUAGAGAAACCUAAGUUGUCGUUUCUUAAAAGUUUGGGGCUGCGACGCUUAUGUGAAAAAGUUUCAGGCUGAUAAGCUCGAACCCAAAGCGGAUAAAUGCAUCUUCAUAGAAUACCCAAAACAGUUGGGUAUACCUCCUAUUUCAGAUCUGGAAGCAAAAGUAAUUGCUUCUAGAAACGAGUCCUUUCUCGAGGAAAAGUUUCUCUCGAAAGAAUUGAGUGGGAGGAUGGUGGAGACUUGAUAAGGUUAUUGAACCGUCACUUCAACUAGUGUGUAGCAGGGCACAUGAAGUUGUUCCUGUGGCACCUACACCAAUUGAAGUGGAAGCUUAUGAUAGUGAUCAUGAAACUUCGGAUCAAGUCACUACCAAACCUCGUAGGACGACGAGGAUGCGUGCUACUUCAGAGUGGUACGUGAUCCUGUCUGAGAUAUCAUGUUGUUGGACAAUACUGAACCUACGAGCUAUGGAGAAGCGAUGGUGGGCCCAUAUUCCGACAAAUGGUUAGAAGCCAUGAAAUCCGAGAUAAAUGGAUCUUUGAGAAGAAGACGGACGUGGACGGUAAUGUUACCGUCUAUGAAGCUCGACUUGUGGCAAAGAGUAUUUCCACAAGUUCAAGGAGUUGACUACGAUGAGAUUUUCUCAUCCGUAGCGAUGCUUAAGUCCAUCGGAAUCAUGUUAGCAUUAGCUGCAUUUAUGAAAUCUGGUAGAUGGAUGUCAAAACAAGUUUCCUUACCAGUUUUCGUAAGGAAAGGUUGUAUGUGAUACAAUCAGAAAGGUUUUGUCGAUCCUAAGGAUGCUAAAAGGUAUGCUAGCUCCAGCGAUCCUUCCAUGGACUAGAGCAAGCAUCUCGGAGUCAGAAUAUAUGCUUUGAUGGAGUGAUCAAAGUUUUUGGGUUUAUACAAAGUUUGUUAGAAACUUGUAUUUCCAAUAAAGUGAGUGGGAGCGCUACAACAUUUCUGAUAAGUAUAUGUGAAUGACAUAUUGUUGAUCCGAAAUGAUGUAAAAUUUCUAGAAAGCAUAAAGGGUUGUUUGAAAGGAGUCUUUCAAAGGAAGACCUGGAUAAAGCUGAUUACAUAUUGGGCAUCAAGAUCUAUAGAGAUAGAUCAAGACGCCUGAUGAUACUUUCAAAGAACGCACACCUUGACAUGAUUUUGAAAGAGUUCAAAAUAGAUCAGCAAAGAAGGAGUUCUUGGCUGUGUUACAAGGUGUGAGUAUUGAGUAAGACUCAAGACCUGACCACAGCAGAAGAGAGAGAAAGGACGAAGGUCGUCCCCUAUGCUUUAGACGUAGGCUCUACAGUAUGCUAUGCUGUGUACCGCACAUGAAGUGUGCCUUGCCAUGAGUUGGUCAAGGGGUACAAUAGUGAUCCGGGAAUGGAUCACAUGACAGCGGUCGAACUUAUCCUUAGUAUCUAGUUGACUAAGGAAUUUUCUUGAUUAUGGAGGUGAAAAGGAGUUCGUCGUAAAGGGUUACGUCGAUGCGAACUUUGACACUAAUCCGGAUGACUCUGAGUAGUAAACCGGAUUCGUAUAGUAGAGCAAUUAUUUGAAAUGGCUCCAAAUAGCGCGUGGUAGCAUCCACAAGAUGACAUAGAUAUUCGUAAAGCACACACGGAUCUGAAAGGUUUAGACCCGUUGACUAAUAACCUCUCUCACAAGCAUAACAUGAUCAAACCAGAACACAUUGAGUGUUAAUCACAUAGUGAUGUGAACUAGAUUGUUGACUCUAGUGAACUCUUUGAUGUUGGUCACAUGGUGAUGUGACCUAUGAGUGUUAAUCACAUGGCGAUGUGAACUAGAUUAUUGACUCUAGUGCAAGUGGGAGACUGUUGGAAAUAUGCCCUAGAGGCAAUAAUAAAUAGGUUAUUAUUAUAUUUCCUUGUUCAUGAUAAUCGUUUAUUAUCCAUGCUAGAAUUGUAUUGAUAGGAAACUCAGAUACAUGUGUGGAUACAUAGACAACACCAUGUCCCUAGUAAGCCUCUAGUUGACUAGCUCGUUGAUCAAUAGAUGGUUAUGGUUUCCUGACCAUGGACAUUGGAUGUCGUUGAUAACGGGAUCACAUCAUUAGGAGAAUGAUGUGAUGGACGAGACCCAAUCCUAAGCCUAGCAUGAGAUCGUGUAGUUCGUUUGCUCAGAGCUUUUCUAAUGUCAAGUAUCAUUUCCUUAGACCAUGAGAUUGUGCAACUCCCGGAUACCGUAGGAAUGCUUUGGGUGUACCAAACGUCACAACGUAACUGGGUGGCUAUAAAGGUGCACCACAGGUAUCUCCGAAAGUGUCUGUUGGGUUGGCACGAAUCGAGACUGGGAUUUGUCACUCCGUGUAAACGGAGAGGUAUCUCUGGGCCCACUCGGUAGGACAUCAUCAUAAUGUGCACAAUGUGACCAAGGAGUUGAUCACGGGAUGAUGUGAGUUACGGAACGAGUAAAGAGACUUGCCAAUAACAAGAUUGAACAAGGUAUAGGGAUACCGACGAUCGAAUCUCGGGCAAGUAACAUACCGAUAGACAAAGGGAUUUGUAUACGGGAUUGAUUGAAUCCCCGACAUCGUGGUUCAUCCGAUGAGAUCAUCGUGGAACAUGUGGGAGCCAACAUGGGUAUCCAGAUCCCGCUGUUGGUUAUUGACCAGAGAACGUCUCGGUCAUGUCUGCAUGGUUCCCGAACCCGUAGGGUCUACACACUUAAGGUUCGAUGACGCUAGGGUUAUAGGGAAAGUAUGUACGUGGUUACCGAAUGUUGUUCGGAGUCCCGGAUGAUAUCCCGGACGUCACGAGGAGUUUCGGAAUGGUCCGGAGUAAAGAUUUAUAUAUGGGAAGUCCUGUUUUGGUCACAGGAAAAGUUUCGGAUGUUAUCGGUAAUGUACCGGGACCACCGGGAGGGUCCCGGGGGUCCACCAAGUGGGGCCACCAGCCCCAGAAGGCUGCGUGGGCAAGUGUGGGAGGGGACCAGCCCCAGGUGGGCUGGUGCACCCCCCCAUGAAGGCCCAAGGCGCAUGGGAGAGUGGGAGGGGGCAAACCCUAGGUCCAGAUGGGCCUUAAGGCCCACCCUAGUUGCGCCCCCCUCUCCCCCCUCUUGGCCGCCACCCUAGAUGGGAUUGGGGCUGCCGCCACCCCUGGGGAGGGAACCCUAGGUGGGGGCGCAGCCCUCCCUCUUCCCCUAUAUAUAGUGGAGGCAAAGGGGCAGCCCAACACACGAGAACGUCUCUCUUUCGGCGCAGCCAUACCCCUCUCCCUCCUCCUCCUCUCCCGCGGUGCUUGGCGAAGCCCUGCGGGAUUGCCACGCUCCUCCAUCACCACCAUGCCGUUGUGCUGCUACUGGACGGAGCCUUCCCCAACCUCUCCCUCUCUCCUUGCUGGAUCAAGGCGUGGGAGACGUCACCGGGCUGUACGUGUGUUGAACGCGGAGGCACCGUUCUUCGGUGCUCAGAUCGGAAUCAACCGCGAUCUGAAUCGCUACGAGUACGACUCCCUCAUCCGCGUUCUUGCAACGCUUCCGCAUCGCGAUCUACAAUGGUAUGUAGAUGCACUCCCCUUCCCCUCGUUGCUAGAUUACUCCAUAGAUUGAUCUUGGUGAUGCGUAGAAAAUUUUGAAUUUCUGCUACGUUCCCCAACAUGUGUUUCCAUGUGCCUUCUAUUUUCUUGCAUCUUUGCUUGCUAAAAAUCUAUUGAUAUGGAUCCACUUAAAGUGUUCUACUUGGAUCAUCUUCGAUCCUUAUGUGCUCGUGCUGAAACCCCAACUAGCCUAGUUGAUGGGAAAUCUUUAGAUGAGCAUGCUCAUUUUGUGCGUCAUCGUUUGUCUGAAAAAGGGAGACUCUUAUGGGAUCAAAUAAACAGAUUGCUGUGUUAUGCUUGGAAUCUUUGUGAAAUUUAUGAUUUUACUUGUUGCUCUAAGAACCCUAAAAAACACCUCCCCUACCUAUGUGAGUUUAAUGAUAAUGAAAUCUUAUCUUCUUAUGCAAAGGGUGUUUAUAGUUACUACGAUAUCGAACAAACUGAAGAAUUUGUUGCUUUUAAGGGUGCUUAUGAAGUUGCUUCUUUGAUUGAAAAGUAUGAUAUUACUCUCUACGAAUCUGAAAAUUUUGACAUACUUAAAUAUUGCUAUGAAAACUAUGCUCAUAAUGUCCAUGUCAAAGAAUUUAUUGAAAGAAUGACCAUUGCUUCUGAAGAAAAUAAUGAUAUGCAUGAUCUAUAGAUAAUUAUGAUUCCGAUGAUUUGAUUGAAAUAUCCCUUGAUGAACAUGAUGCUUGCUAUUCUUGUGGUCAUGAUGCCAAUAUUUAUGAAGAUGAAUUUGCUAUAGUUCCUUAUGUUAAACAUGAGAUCGUUGCUAUUGCACCCAUACUUGAUAUUUCCUUCGACAAAAAGCAUGAUUGCAAUGAUGUUAUUAUAAAUUCUCUUAAUGUCAAUUGUGUUAAUGAUAUGCAAAACCUCAAGCUUGGGGAUGCUAGUUUUGCUAUGACUACUAUUUGUUGCAAUGAUCAUGAUUGGGGUGAUUCUUCUUAUGAUCUUGAAAAUUUAUUUAAGCCCCAUGAUGAAUAUGAGAUUGAUAAUAAUGUUUGCAAUAAUAUAGAAAGUGGGUUUGGAAGAGUGUCAACUUUAGAUCCCACAUAUUUGGAGAAUUUUCAAUCUUAUGAAGUUUUUGAUAAAAGUGGGUUUGGAGAGGUCAUGACUUUAGUUAAUGUUAAUCCCACUAUUUUGGAAGAGUGUCAACUUUGCAUACAUGUGGAUCGUGUUAAGAAUAUGUUUUGUGAUAGCUAUAUUGUUGAAUUUGCUUAUGAUCCUACAUGUAAUUAUUAUGAGAGAGGAAAAUAUGGUUGUAGAAAUUUCCAUGUCACUAAAUUUUCUCUCGUUAUGUUGAGAUUGCUAUUGUUUCUUUCUUCUUCCUUCCAUAUGCUAGAUCUUGCUAAUUUGUUUUCCUAUAAAGUGCCUAUGCAUAGGAAGUAUGUUAGACUUAGAUGUGUUUGUCACGUGUUUCAUGAUGCUCUCUUUGCGCUUCAAUUCUUGUCUUUCAUGUGAGCAUCAUCGAAAUCUCAAUGCCUAGCUUAGGGCGUUAAACGAUAGCGCUUGUUGGGAGGCAACCCAAUUUUAUUUUUGUUCCUUGCUUUUUGUUCCUGUUUAGUAAUAAAUAAUUCAUCUAGCCUCUGGUUAGAUGUGGUUUUAUGUUUUAAUUAGUGUUUGUGCCAAGUAAAACCUGUAGGAUCUUCUUGGGUGAUAAUUAUUUGAUCUUGCUGAAAAAAACAGAAACUUUAUGCUCACGAAAACAAUUGUUAAAAAUCACCAUAAAGUGAUAACAUACUGAUUCAAAUUGCAGUAGAUCAAUAAACAAAUUAUCUAGGUCUUCCUAUUUUUGCAGAUUUUUUGAGUUACAGAAGUGUGCAUUUGAUACAGAUUACUACAGACUGUUCUAUUUUUACAGAUUCUGUUUUUCGUGUGUUGUUUGCUUAUUUUGAUGAAUCUAUGGCUAGUAUCGGGGGGUAUGAACCAUAGAGAAGUUGGAAUACAGUAGUUUAACACCAAUAUAAAUAAAGAAUGAGUUCAUUACAGUACCUUAAUGUGGUGGUUUGUUUUCUUACACUAGCGGAGCUCAUGAGAUUUUCUGUUGAGUUUUGUGUUGUGAAGUUUUCAAGUUUUGGGUAAAGAUUUGAUGGAUUAUGGAAUAAGGAGUGGCAAGAGCCUAAGCUUGGGGAUGCCCAAGGCAUCCCAAGGUAAAAUUCAAGGAUAACCAAAAGCCUAAGCUUGGGGAUGCCCCGGAAGGCAUCCCCUCUUUCGUCUUCGUCUAUCGGUAACUUUACUUGAGGCUAUAUUUUUAUUCACCACAUGAUAUGUGUUUUGCUUGGAGCGUCUUGUAUGAUUUGAGUCUUUGCUUUUUAGUUUACCACAAUCAUCCUUUCUGUACACACCUUUUGGAGAGACACACAUGAAUCGGAAUUUAUUAGAAUACUCUUUGUGCUUCACUUAUAUCUUUUGAGCUAAGAUAAUUUUGCUCUAGUGCUUCGCUUAUAUCUUUUAGAGCACGGUGGUGGUUUUAUUUUAUAGAAAUUAUUGAUCUCUCAUGCUUCACUUAUAUUAUUUUGGGAGUCCUUUAGAACAGCAUGGUAAUUUGCUUUGGCUAUAAAAUUAGUCCUAAUAUUAUAGGCAUCCAAUAUGGGUAUAAUAAAAAGUUUCAUAUAAAGCGCAUUGAAUACUAUGAGAAGUUUGAUACUUGAUGAUUGUUUUGAGAUAGGAAGAUGGUGAUAUUAGAGUCAUGCUAGUAGAGUAGUUGUGAAUUUGAUAAAUACUUGUGUUGAGGUUUGCAAGUCCCGUAGCAUUCACGUUGAUACGUCUCCGUCGUAUCUACUUUUCCAAACACUUUUGCCCUUGUUUUGGACUCUAACUUGCAUGAUAUGAAUGGAACUAACCCGGACUGACGCUGUUUUCAACAGACUUUCCAUGGUGUUAUUUAUGUGCAGAAACAAACGUUCUCGGAAUGACUUGAAACUCCACGGAACUUAUUUUUUGAAAAUAUAAAAAAUACUGGAAGAAGAAUCCACGUCAGGGGGGCCUCCACCUGUCCACGAGGGUGGGGGGCGCGCGCCCCUGCCUCAUGGGCCCCCUGACGCUCCACCGACCUCAACUCCAACUCCAUAUAUUCAUGUUCGGGGAGAAAAAAAUCAGAGAGAAGGAUUCAUCGCGUUUUACGAUACGGAGCCGCCGCCAAGCCCUAAAACCUCUCGGGAGGGCUGAUCUGGAGUCCAUUCGGGGCUCCGGAGAGGGGAAUCCGUCGCCGUCGUCAUCAUCAACCAUCCUCCAUCACCAAUUUCAUGAUGCUCACCGCUGUGCGUGAGUAAUUCCAUCGUAGGCUUGCUGGACGGUGAUGGGUUGGAUGAGAUUUAUCAUGUAAUCGAGUUAGUUUUGUUAGGUUUUGAUCCCUAGUAUCCACUAUGUUCUGAGAUUGAUGUUGCGAUGACUUUGCUAUGCUUAAUGCUUGUCACUAGGGCCCGAGUGCCAUGAUUUCAGAUCUCAACCUAUUAUGUUUUCAUGAAUAUAUGUGAGUUCUUGAUCCUAUCUUGCAAGUCUAUAGUCACCUACUAUGUGUUAUGAUCCGGCAACCCCGAAGUGACAAUAAUCGGGACCACUCCCGGUGAUGACCAUAGUUUGAGGAGUUCGUGUAUUCACUAUGUGUUAAUGCUUUGGUCCGGUACUCUAUUAAAAGGAGGCCUUAAUAUCCCUUAGUUUCCGUUAGGACCCCGCUGCCACGGGAGGGUAGGACAAAAGAUGUCAUGCAAGGUCUUUUCCAUAAGCACGUAUGACUAUAUUCGGAAUACAUGCCUACAUUAUAUUGAUGAAUUGGAGCUAGUUCUGUGUCACCCUAUGUUAUGACUGUUACAUGAUGAACCGCAUCCGGCAUAAUUCUCCAUCACCGAUCCAAUGCCUACGAGCUUUUCACAUAUUGUUCUUCACUUAUUUACUUUUCCGUUGCUACUGUUACAAUCGUCACAAAACCCAAAAAUAUUACUUUUGCUACUGCUACCGUUACUUCCAUAUUACUUUGCUACUAAAUACUUUGCUGCAGAUACUAAGUUAUCCAGGUGUGGUUGAAUUGACAACUCCACUGCUAAUACUUGAGAAUAUUCUUUGGCUCCCCUUGUGUCGAAUCAAUAAAUUUGGGUUGAAUACUCUACCCUCGAAAACUGUUGCGAUCCCCUAUACUUGUGGGUUAUCAAGACUAUUUUCUGGCGCCGUUGCCGGGGAGCAUAGCUCUAUUCUUUGAGUCACUUGGGAUUUAUAUCUGCUGGUCACUAUGAAGAACUUGAAAGACGUGAAAACAAAAAUUUAUCCCUCAACUACGAGAGGAGGUAAGGAACUGCCAUCUAGCUCUGCACUUGAUUCACCCUCUGUUUUGAGUAAGCUUGCGACACCUAAACCUGCUUCUGCUAUUAAUUCUGAUAUGUCGCAUGUUAUUGAUGAUGCCACUUCUGCUAUGCAUGAUACUUAUGAUGAAACUACUUCUAUGCUUGAUACUACUGUGCCACUUGGUGAAUUUCUUGAUGAACAACUUGCUAGGGCUAGAGAGAAUGAAAUUAUUGAAACUGAUAAUAUUGAUGAUAGUGAUGAUGAAGACUCUCCCCCUAAUAAAUAUGAAUUACCUGUUGUUCCUGAGGGUUAUGUUAUGGAUGAAGAAGCUGCUAGAGCUAUUUUAGCUUGCAAUGAUAGAUAUGAUCUUAAGAAGUUAUUAGCUAAAUGGAAGCAACAAUCUCUUAAUGCUAGAAUGAAACCUGACCCUGCUUUUGCUACUUCACCUAUCUGUGUUACUGAUAAGGAUUAUGAAUUCUCUGUUGAUCCUGAUAUAAUUACUUUGGUUGAAUCUGAUCCUUUUUAUGGCUAUGAAUCUGAAACUGUUGUGGCACAUCUUACUAAAUUAAAUGAUAUAGCCACCCUAUUCACUAAUGAUGAGAGAACUCGUUACUUUUAUAUCCUUAAAAUAUUUCCGUUCUCAUUAAAGGGUGAUGCUAAGAUAUGGUUUAAUUCUCUUGAUCCUGGUUGUGUGCGUAGUCCCCAGGAUAUGAUUUAUUACUUCUCUGCUAAAUAUUUCCCUGCUCAUAAGAAACAAGCUGCUUUAAGGGAUAUAUAUAAUUUUGUGCAAAUUGAAGAAGAGAGUCUCCCACAAGCUUGGGGGAGGCUUCUCCAAUUACUUAAUGCUUUGCCUGAUCAUCCUCUUAAGAAAAAUGAAAUACUUGAUAUCUUUUAUAAUGGACUAACCGAUGCUUCCAGAGAUUACCUGGAUAGUUGUGCUGGUUCUGUUUUCAGGGAAAGAACACCGGAUGAAGCUGAAAUUUUAUUGAAUAAUAUGUUGACAAAUGAAAAUAAUUGGACACUUCCUGAGCCAAUUCCUGAGCCUAUUCCUAAACCAACUCCGAAGAAGAGGGGUGUUCUAUUUCUCAGUCCUGAAGAUAUGCAAGAGGCAAAGAAAUCUAUGAAAGAAAAGGGUAUUAAAGCUGAAGAUAUUAAGAAUUUACCUCCUAUUGAAGAAAUACAUGGUCUUAAUUUACCGCCUGUUGAAGAAAUAUAUGAUCCUAAUCCAUUACCUAUCGAAGAAACUCAUGGUCUUGAUAACCCGGCACAGGUAGUAAAGGUAAAUUCUCUCUAUAGAUUUGAUGAAGGUGAUAUCUGAUACGUCUCCGUCGUAUCUAUAAUUUUUGAUUGUUCCAUGCCAAUAUUCUACAACUUUCAUAUACUUUUGGCAACUUUUUAUAUUAUUUUUGGGACUAACAUAUUGAUCCAGUGCCCAGUGCUAGUUCCUGUCUGUUGCAUGUUUUAUGUUUCGCAGAAUAUCCAUAUCAAACGGAAUCCAAACGGGAUAAAAACGGACGGAGCUUAUUUUUGGAAUAUUUGGAAAAUUCCGGAAGAAAAAUCCACGUGAGACGGUGCCCGAGGUGGCCACGAGGCAGGGGGGCGCGCCCCUGACCCUCGUGGGCCACCCGUAAGGCGGUUGACGCCCUUCAUCGGCCGCAAGAAAGCUAAUUUUUGGUAAAAAAAUCACGGCGAAGGUUUCAGUCCAAUCGGAGUUACGGAUCUCCUGAUAUAAAAGAAACGAUGAAAGGGCAGCAGGGAGAACACAGAAACAGAGAGAGACAGAGAGACAGAUCCAAUCUCGGAGGGGCUCUCGCCCCUCCCGCCAUGGAGGCCAAGGACCAGAGGGGAAACCCUUCUCCCAUCUAGGGAGGAGGUCAAGGAAGAAGAAGAAGGAGGGGGGCUCUCUCUCCAUCGCUUCCGGUGCCGCCGGAGUGCCACCGGGGGCCAUCAUCAUCACCGCAAUCUUCACCAACAACUUCACCGCCAUCAUCACCAACUCUUCCCCCCUCUAUGCAGCGGUGUAAUCUCUCUCUUACCCGUUGUAAUCUCUACUUAAACCUGGUGCUCAACGCUAUAUAUUAUUUCCCAAUGAUGUAUGGCUAUCCUAUGAUGUUUGAGUAGAUCCGUUUUGUCCUAUGGGCUAUUUGAUGAUCAAAAUUGGUUUGAGUUGCAUGUUUAUUAUUGGUGCUCUUCGUGUCGCGCAAGCGUGAGGGAUUCCCGCUGUAGGGUUUGCAAUAUGUUCAUGAUUUUCUUAUGGUGGGUGGCGUGAGUGACAGAAGCACAGACCCGAGUAAGUAGGUUGUUUGCGUAUGGGAUAAAGAGGACUUGAUACUUUAAUGCUAUGGUUGGGUUUUACCUUAAUGAUCUUUAGUAGUUGCGGAUGCUUGCUAGAGUUCCAAUCAUAAGUGCAUAUGAUCCAAGUAGAGAAAGUAUGUUAGCUUAUGCCUCUCCCUCAAAUAAAAUUGCAAUAAUGAUUACCAGUCUAGUUAUCGAUUGCCUAGGGACAAAUAACUUUCCCGUAACAAAAAGCUCUUUACUAAUUUUGUUGUGUCCUCAUCUAAACAGCCCCUACUUUUUAUUUGCGUGCUCUUUAAAUUCUUGCAAGCUUACCCAAAAACACCUACAAAGUACUUCUAGUUUCAUACUUGUUCUAGGUAAAGCGAACGUCAAGCGUGCGUAGAGUUGUAUCGGUGGUUGAUAGAACUUGAGGGAAUAUUUGUUCUACCUGUAGCUCCUCGUUUGGUUUGACACUCUUACUUAUCGAAAGAGGCUACAAUUGAUCCCCUAUACUUAUGGGUUAUCAAGACCUUUUUCUGCGCCGUUGCCGGGGAGCAAUAGCGUGGGGUGAGUAUUCUCAUGUGUGCUUGUUUGCUUUAUCACUAAGUAAUUUUUAUUUGCUGUUCUUAGUUGUUUCCUAUCUUUAGUUAUGGGUAGGAAACGCAAAAUACCAAAAAAAUUAGUUGUACCUACUGAACCAAUGGUUGAAGAACCACUCAAAAUCUAUCACACUCCCGAAGCUUAUUACUUGGAUCAUCUUCGAUCCCUAUGUGCUCGUGCUGAAACCCUAUUGUAGGGUGGAACCCUAAGUGAAGAUCUUUCACGAAUUGGAGGGGGAAUCCCCAAGAACAAGAAGAACACAAAGGGGGAAAACAAGAGGAACACUCAAAUUGACUUGAUCCAAUCACACAUGUGCUAGGUCCAAUUACACAAAGAGAGAUACAAAGGUCCAAAUCCAACACAAGAAGAUACAAGAGGUAACUAGUUCAUCCCAAUCCUAUGAGGAAAGAGGUCUUGAUGAUCCUAUGAUGGGGAUCCUUCUCCAAGAGGAGGCCUUGAUAUCCACAAGAGGAUCUUCUCCAAGAGGAGGCCUUGAUCUCCAUGAGGAGGAUGAUGAGCAAAGCUCUCUCUUUGUCUAUCCAAUAAUUUGCUAUCCCUAACAUAUGGUCUAGGUACUGAACAUAUAGGUAGGUGGAAGGAGGGGACGAGGUGGAGGCCCAACAGCAGCUCACAGCCGUCCAUCCUGAUGGGCCCGUGCGCACGGGGGUCCCGUGGGCACGGUACAAGCCCGUGCGCACGGGGUGCUCCGGUGCCAGCUCUCUGAGUAGUCCGUGCGCACGGGGUCUUCGAGGCCCGUGGGCACGGGGUCGCCUGGGAGGUGCAGAGUUGAUCUUGUUGCACUCCUUCUUCCUCCUUGUGGCCUUGGAGUCCUUCUCCUACUCCUUUGGGGUGUUCCUCACCAGCUUGUGGUCGUCGGUCUUCGUAUCCAAGGACACAUAGAGCACUUUGGUGAGGUAGCAAGCAAGUCCAAUGGAUAUUCAUGAUAUUCUCGAAGAAGAGCGGGUUCACCUUAAUUCCGGUAGGUCCACUUGGGACUCGAGCUGCUAUGACGGUGUACAUGGAGAUGACCAUGGGAUGCUCCGCAUCAUCCCCUCCCCCAUGGGAGAGAUCCGACCUCGGAUCGUAAACCGUAUCGCCAUGUACACGGUAGGAAUUGAUGCCUUGUCGCUUGGUGAGGUGCUCUAAGAUGUUGGUGCCGUGCAACGUGUAUGCCUUCCCAUGAUGAAGAUAGCUCAUGAUGGUACCACCUUGCAAGACCUUCAAAACGAAAGAACAUGACAAGCACUUGGAAAAACCCAUGAGGUUAGCGUGAACGCAAAGCCUAUCAUUCGGGAAGGGAAAUUACCAACAAGUGAAUUUAUCAUGUGUAUCAUAAGGAAGGGCAAGGUAGGGUGACAUGUCAUGGAGGCAUAUGAUGUGAGUACAACCAACUAUAAGAAACUCAACCAAACAAACAUGCUUCACAAGUAAUAUGUCUAAGUCUCCAAGAUCAAUAAACAUAGCAUGGGUGCACUCACUAGAAUGGCAUAUGAGAAGUGCAACUAAUGGAGACAAGAGACAAUGAUCAAGACAAAUCAAGUGAGAGGCGUGAACAUAUAUGUCCUCAACCCAAGAAAGCGAGUAAUAAAGGAACAUGGGUGAUGCAACCAAGCAAGCAAUCGUAGUAAUCAAGUCAAGCAAGCUAGUAGUGUGAAGAUGCAACAUACUAGAAGGAGUCAUUGCAAUCAUGUCAUGUGUGUAAAUGGUGGGCAUAUAUGAUGCACAUGACAUAUCACAAGCAUGAAAACAAGAUAUGAGUAAAGUAUCAUCAUUAUAUUGGCAAGAAGUCCUAAGUAAAUAGCAAUGGAACAUCAUGACUCUCCCAACACAACAAGCAUCAAUAGCACGAGGCACAUGAUAAACAUGGCAAUAGCAACAAGGAUCUCCACCAUGCAUGCAAAUACACAUAGGAGUAGCAUAAUGGUGAAUCAUGGGUAGAUGCAAGCAAGGGUCACAAUUGCAUGGUAAAAUCAUGUAAAGAGGCAUAACAUGCAAAGUGAACAAGAUACAAUGGGCAUAAAGUAACAACUGAUAUAUAGCCCAUAGCCUUGUGAGAGCCAAGUAGAAGAGAUGCGCGUAGUCGUUGCGCGAAGAGAAUGGUAGGAAGGACAAUCCACGGGAUCCCAAAUCGUCGUUGCUCUCAAGAGCUUGUUUCGUCAACUCUUGGGAUUGAGAGGUUGACGAGUAUACGUGAGUACCUACACACAACAAAAACAAAGGGAAAAUUGUGUGUGCGUGGUAGAUGUACACAUCAUCCAUCAUGAUGCGCACGUGCUUGUGUUGGUUAGCACAAAAUAUCCAAUGCUCAAAUAAAUGAGUUGCAUGAUAUAGAAACAUGUCAUCCAUCAUGAGAGGUUUGUUGUUAUGUAUAGCAUAAUGGAGAUUCAAAGGAUGUAAUGCAUCACUCGUAAUAUCUAGAGCAUUGUGAGGAAUGGUAUGCAUGUGGUGCACACAAGGGAUGUAAUCCCGUGAUACACAAUAAUUUCCAUGGUAUGACAUAUGAGAUGAAUUGCACAAACUUUGCAAAGGAAGCAUAGCAAUAUCAUCGCAAGAGAAAUAAAAGCCAAUGACCAUCAUCUCGUCAUCUAUGCCAUAUGUGCAGAUAGGAUUUAUUUUAAUGGGGCAUGCAUAGUUACUAUGUUGAGAUUGAAAUGAUGCAAUAUGGGAGAUCUCACUCAUACCAUAUGACAAGGUUAAUGGAUUGUCAAAAAUGAUGUGACCAAAAGAAUUUUCACAUGAUAUCCUAUGGAGCAUAGCAUCACAACUAGGCAACUCAACAUGCUCAUCAUCAUAUCCAUCAUAAAUAGGUAAGUCAUGACAUGAGGAAGUCGCACUAGCAUGAAGUAUUGUAAUAGGUGUGUCAACAUCAUGCAAGCAAUCAUUGUGAAUAUAGUCCACUAGUGGGACAAGUGAAGCACCAUCACCUAUGUUACCUUGUUCAUUCCACUCAAGUGGUGUAGGUGAGGUGGCAAAGACCAAAUGGUGGUCAUCAACUUCAUCUUGAUGGAACCAUGUGGGGGUGCAUCAUAUUCCACCAUGGCCAUUGUCUUGUCCAAAGGUAGGACGAAGUCGUCGAGGAUCGGCGCAUCAUCAUAUAUGGGACCUAUCACCAAAUGAGAAGACACAAUAGAGGUAGAGGUUAAGUUGUUAGAAAUCAAAAUGGCCUCACAUGCCCUAUCAACUACCUCGCUCUCUCUAUGUGGUGGUGGCUCACUCACUCCCUCAAGGUAGGUGCACUCAGUGUCACAUAUGGUGGAGUCACUCAAAUCACUCAAGUGGUGAUGGUGGUGGCUCUCCUCACAUGGAAAUUGGGGCAGCUCAUCAUAUAUGGGGCUAGUGGUGAAGUCACUCUCACUUUCAAUAUGGUGGCAAAAGUCACUCAAGUCAUCAUACGUCGCCGUGGUCGAAGGGAAAAUCCCAUGCUCAACCCUCUCUUCGUGAAUGAAGGCCGACGAUGGCACAUCAUCGCUCUCCUCCAUGACCGAAGGGAAAAUCCCAUGCUCGAUCAUCCCGUCACCGUCACCGUGGAUGAAGGCCGAUGUAGGCGUACUCGUCGGAGGUAUGCGAAGAUGCCGUACGUCCAAAAGCGAAGAUGCCUUGAUAACACUAGGCGAAGAUGCCGAAGUGGAGGUGGUAGCCGUAGCUUGCUCGUGGUGGUGCUCGUCUCUCGGUAUCCUCUUGUACUCAUGAAGGUUUUCUUGACGGUGCCGCGUGGUACUUGCAUCUUGUGGCCGCUCCGAAGACUUGCGACUGAGCGUCUCCGCCUUGAAGAUGAUGAAGAGGAAGAAGACUUGUAGUUGGCCCACACGUGUCGGAUGUCAUCCAAUUGUGCAUCCAACUUGGUGUCGAUGUAGUCCCUUGUCCGUGCUUCGCGUUGGUGAAUGUCGAUGGUGAGUCGCUCAAUGCCUCGCAUUGCUCGUUGUAGUCCGAAGAUGGGCGUUUUGGUGAUGUAGUUGUUCGCGCCGUCGUUGUCGUGGAAGACCGGUGAUGAAAUGCCUUGCCUAUCCAUCACAAGACUCGAGCAAAUGUGAGUGGAAGAAAGGAAAGAUCUAGACCAAAUGUACCUUUCCAAUGUUGAAGAUGGAUCGAUGAUCACUCAAUAAUGUAUCAAGGAAAUAGCACAAUUGGUACCGGAUCUUGUCAAUUCUCACACCUACACAAGUAAGGCUUAUGGUGGAGCUUGGUGAGGAUAGUGGCACAAAAAUUUGAUGCAAAAUGUUAGCAAGAGUCAAUAAUGUUGGAAAAGAUUCACAAAUUCGCAAGAGAAACAAGUAGACCAAUAGCAAUAUGUGGUACACGGAAACACACACACGGAUAGAUAAAUGGGGUCGUGCAACCAAGGUAUGAGCACAAAAUGUGGAAUCCACGGAAAAUGCUCGUGUUGCACAACUCAAGAGAGACGCUAGCAUUUCUCAAUAGGCGGAUAUGACACUUGUGCACAACCUAUAAGAUGCAAAAUGUAUGAGCUUUCUAUCCCAAGUAUGCUAUGUGUAUGAUGUUCCCGUUGUUUGAUUGAAGAUGAUCGGAUAUGGCAAUCUUAUGCGAUGUUGUAGGAUGCUAUGGCUAUUGCUUACAAGCUUCUUUGCUCUUUCUCUUUUUGCUUAAAAGCUUUUUUUUUGAUAUGACCACAAUGCAAAAUGCACAAACCAAGAUAGCAAUUGUGUAUAUGCGGGAACAAUCUUGUGACACAAGGGAUGAUAUGAUGAUACCAAUAUGAUAUGGUAUGUAUGCAAUGGAAGGGUGGAUCACUAAUGUGCACAAGUAACGUGGCCCGGCAAUACUCAAAUGGCUAGUCUCGAUAGGCAAGUGACGCAAAAUGGGCUAAGGGGUUAACAAUGCAAUGGCAAGAAUGUACAAUGAAGGGAUACCACGAUACCAGGAUGAUAUAGAGGUUACCGUUCUUGCUUACGGUUAGGGUGCCAAAAUGGUGAAGUGGUCGAUGUCGAAGACGACCUCGUGGCGAUGAUGAGUGGCGGUGUUCUUGAUGUAGAUACCAAGAUGAUGUAGACUCGUCCCUAAGUAGCCGAAACACCUUAGGAAACGGUAAAAACCGCAAACUCAAAAUCUCAUACGGAAAAAGUCAAAUGGUGGAAGCGGAGAUGGCAAUGCGGAAGUGGUGGUGGUGGUUGAUGAAGAAGCAACCGUCCCUAAGUAGCCGAAACACCUUAGGAGACUCAAGUCACCACUCAAACAACCGCAGUUGCUAAAUGGAGCAAAACGGGUUAGGUUGCGGAAGGCUAUGGUGGUUUUACGGAUGAUAUGGUGGAAGGCCUAGGCAAAUAUGCCAAAUUUUGAAACAUUUGUGGAGUCAAAUGGUGUUGGAACCUAUCUAGAUGGAUGGGGGAUGGCAAUAGCUACUCAACGAGCUAAAGAACGCGAAAAUCGGACUCCGGAUGUGGAAGUUAUGGGCAAAACGGUGAAGUGCUCGCGGCUGACAUGGGAGGGUCGUGCGCACGGGGGUAGGAGCCCGUGGGCACGGGGUCCCGUGCACACGGUACAGGUCCGUGGGCACGGGGUGUCCAGAGACUUUUCGGGGGCCCGUGCGCACGGGGUCUGGGGUCCGUGGGCACGGGGUGGGCGGAAAAUUCACGAUUUCGUGGCGGAAAUUGGAGAUUUCUUGGGCAAAAUUGGAGAGAUUUUGAGGAUGGAUGGUGGGGAAAAGAUGGGGGAAAGCUAGAUCCACUUGAAACCAAGCAAAUCGAUGGAUCAAAUCCAACAAAACCUCAUCAAACCAACAAGGCACAAAAAAAUUUGGGGCUAUUUUUGGUGGGGAAUUUUCGAAAUUGGGGAAGAACACAACAAAAUUAGGCUAGAGAACAAGAAGGGGGGCUCCAAUUUCGUGAGAAACCAUGGCUCAUGAUACCAAGAUGUUGUAGGGUGGAACCCUAAGUGAAGAUCUUUCAUGAAUUGGAGGGGGAAUCCCCAAUAACAAAAAGAACACAAAGGGGGAAAACAAGAGGAACACUCAAAUUGACUUGAUCCAAUCACACAUGUGCUAGGUCCAAUUACACAAAGAGAGAUACAAAGGUCCAAAUCCAACACAAGAAGAUACAAGAGGUAACUAGUUCAUCCCAAUCCUAUGAGGAAAGAGGUCUUGAUGAUCCUAUGAUGGGGAUCCUUCUCCAAGAGGAGGCCUUGAUAUCCACAAGAGGAUCUUCUCCAAGAGGAGGCCUUGAUCUCCAAGAGGAGGAUGAUGAGCAAAGCUCUCUCUUUGUCUAUCCAAUACUUUGCUAUCCCUAACAUAUGGUCUAGGUACUGAAUAUAUAGGUAGGUGGAAGGAGGGGAUGAGGUGGAGGCCCAACAGCAGCUCACAGCCGUCCAUCCUGAUGGGCCCGUGCGCACGGGGUAAGUUGGGCCCGUGCGCACGGGGGUCCCGUGGGCACGGUACAAGACCGUGCGCACGGGGUGCUCCGGCGCCAGCUCUCUGAGUAGUCCGUGCGCACGGGGUCUUCGAGGCCCGUGGGCACGGGGUCGCCUGGGAGGUGCGGAGUUGAUCUUGUUGCACUCCUUCUUCCUCCUUGUGGCCUUGGGGUCCUUCUCCUACUCCUUUGGGGUGUUCCUCACCAGCUUGUGGUCGUCGGUCUUCGUAUCUAAGGACACAUAGAGCACUUUGGUGAGGUAGCAAGCAAGUCCAAUGGAUAUUCAUGAUAUUCUCGAAGAAGAGUGGGUUCACCUUAAUUCCGGUAGGUCCACUUGGGACUCGAGCUGCUAUGACGGUGUACAUGGAGAUGACCAUGGGAUGCUCCGCAUCAAACCCCAACUAGCUUAGUUGAGGGCAAAUCCUUAGAUGAGCAUGGUUGUUAUGUGCGACACCGUAUAUCUGAAAAAGGGAAAAUUCUAUUGGGUCAAAUUCAUCGCUUGCAAUGCUAUGCUUGGAAUUUAUGCGUAAUAUAUGAUUUUACUUGUUGUUCUGAAAACCCUAAGAAAAACCUUCCCUACCAAUGUGAGUUUAGUGAUAAUGGAAUCAUAUCUUCGUAUGCUAAGGGUGUUUAUAAUUACUAUGAUGUUCAACAAAUUGAAGAAUUUGUUGCUUUUAAGGGUGCUUAUGAAAUUGCUUCUUUGAUUGAAAAGUAUGGUGCUACUCUUUACAAAUCUGAAAAUUUUGCCAUACUUAAAUAUUGUUAUGAUAAUUAUGCUUCUAAUGCCUAUGUUAAACCAUAUAUUGAGGACUACUCCGCUGUCCAAGAAGAGACUAAUAUUUUGCAGGAGUCUAUGGAAGAAGAAAUUGAUGAAACCGUGAGCUCAUUGGAUGAAAAAGAUGAUGAGGAGAGCGAAGAACAAAAGGAGGAACAACGGAUUAGCUACCCGUGCCCACCUUCUAAUGAGAGUAACUCUUCAACUCAUACAUUGUUUAAUUUCCCUUCGUGCUUACCAAAGGAUGAUUGCUAUGAUGACUAUUAUGAUCCCGUUGAUUCUCUUGAAAUAUCCCUUUUUGAUGAUGCUUGCUAUGCUUGUGGCCAAGAUGCCAAUAUGAAUUAUGCUUAUGGAGAUGAACUUGCUAUAGUUCCUUAUGUUAAACAUGAAAUUGUUGCUAUUGCACCCACACAUGAUAGUCCUAUUAUCUUUUUGAAUUCUCCAAACUACACUAUAUCGGAGAAGUUUGUGCUUAUUAAGGAUUAUAUUGAUGGGUUCUCCUACUUGCAAUUAUUAUGAGAGAGGAACUAUAUCUCCACCUCUCUAUGUUUCUAACACGAUAAAAUUGCAAGAAACUGCUUACACUAUGCAUUGGCCUUUACUAGGUGUGCAUGAAUUGUUCUUUUAUGACAUGCCGAUGCAUAGGAAGAGAGUUAGACUUCGUCAUUACAUGAUAUAUGUUACUUUGUGCUCACUACUAAAUUACAAAUCAUUGUUAAUUAAAAUUGGCUUUGAUAUACCUUGGGAUCCGGGUGGAUCCAUUACUUGAGCACUAUAUGCCUAGCUUAAUGGCUUUAAAGAAAGCGCUGCCAGGGAGACAACCCGGAAGUUUUAGAGAGUCAUUUAUUUCUGUUGAGUGCUUUCAUAUAGUUUAAAAACAACAAAAAUAAAGAGGGGAACCCAAAACUUUUUCAAAAAGGAAAGUGAAAGUGAGAAAGACAAGCAUUGUUGAAGUGGGAGAGCUCCUUGAACUUUGUUCAUGCUCACGGAAACUUUGUGAAUCUUGAUUACAGAAACUUUUCGACAAAAAUAAUUAUCCCCUUGUACAAUUCCAUUGUAUUAUAAAAAUAAUGUGCCAGGGUUUGCCUUUAGGAUGUUUACAAUGCUUGUUGGUUUGUGCGGUGCAGGACAGAAACUUUGGCUGUAGCGCGCGAAUUUUAAUUUUUUAUUGGAACGUCAAGCGGUGCUGAUUCUUUUUGCACUGUCUUUCUAUAUAAAUUGUUUAUUUAUCCUAAUUUUGGAAGAAUUUUUCAAGUACCAGAAGUAUGGUUAAUGUUCAGAUUAUUAUAGACUGUUCUGUUUUAGACAGAUUCUGUUUUUGAUGCAUAGUUUGCUUGUUUUGAUGAAACUAUCAAUUUAUAUCAGUGGAUUAAGCCAUGAAAAAGUUAUAUUACAGUAGACACAAUGCAAAAACAAAAUAUGAAUUGGUUUUCAACAGUACUUAGAGUAGUGAUUUACUUUAUUAUACUAACGGAUCUUACCGAGUUUUCUGUUGAAGUUUUGUGUGGAUGAAGUGUUCGAUGAUCGAGAAGGUCUCGAUGUGAGAAGAAGGAAGAGAGGCAAGAGCUCAAGCUUGGGGAUUCCCGAGGCACCCCAAGUAAAUAUUUAAGGAGACUCAAGUGUCUAAGCUUGGGGAUGCCCCGGAAGGCAUCCCCUCUUUCUUCAACAAGUAUCGGUAUGUUUUCGGAUUCGUUUCGUUCAUGCGAUAUGUGCAGAUCUUGGAGCGUCUUUUGCAUUUAGUUUUCAUUUUUAUUUUAUGCACCAUGCUGGUAUGAGAUAGUCCUUGGUUGAUUUAUAGAAUGCUCAUUUCACUUCACUUAUAUCUUUUGAGUAUGGCUUUAUAGAAUGCUUCAUGUGCUUCACUUAUAUCAUUUGAAAUUUGGAUUGCCUGUUUCUCUUUACAUAGAAAACCACCAUUUGUAGAAUGCUCUUUUGCUUCACUUAUAUUUGUUAGAGCGUGGGCAUAUCUUUUGUAGAAAUAAUUAAACUCUCUUGCUUCACUUAUAUCUAUUUAGAGAGAUGACAGGAACUGGUCAUUCACAUGGUUAGUCAUAAAAUCCUACAUAAAACUUGUAGAUCACUGAAUAUGAUAUGUUUGAUUCCUUGCAAUAGUUUUGCGAUAUAACGAUGGUGAUAUUAGAGUCAUGCUAGUGGGUAGUUGUGGAUUAGUAGAAAUACUUGUGUUGAGGUUUGUGAUUCCCGUAGCAUGCACGUAUGGUGAACCGUCAUGUGAUGAAGUCGGAGCAUGAUUUAUUUAUUGAUUGUCUUCCUUAUAAGUGACGGUCGGGGACGAGCGAUGGUCUUUUCCUACCAAUCUAUCCCCCUAGGAGCAUGCGCGUAGUACUUUAUUUCGAUGACUAAUAGAUUUUUCCAAUAAGUAUGUGAGUUCUUUAUGACUAAUGUUGAGUCCAUGGAUUAUACGCACUCUCACCCUUCCAUCAUUGCUAGCCUCUUCGGUACCGUGCAUUGCCCUUUCUCACCUCGAGAGUUGGUGCAAACUUCGCCGGUGCAUCCAAACCCCGUGAUAUGAUACGCUCUGUCACACAUAAGCCUCAUUAUAUCUUCCUCAAAACAGCCACCAUACCUACCUAUCAUGGCAUUUCCAUAGCCAUUCCGAGAUAUAUUGCCAUGCAACUUCCAUCAUCAUCAUAUACAUGACUUGAACAUUUAAUGUCAUAUUGCUUUGCAUGAUCGUAAGAUAGCUAGCAUGAUGUUUUCAUGGCUUGUCCGUUUUUUGAUGGCAUUGCUACGCUAGAUCAUUGCACAUCCCGGUACACCGCCGGAGGCAUUCAUAUAGAGUCAUAUCUUUGUUCUAGUAUCGAGUUGUAAUAUUGAGUUGUAAGUAAAUAAAAGUGUGAUGAUCAUCAUUAUUAGAGCAUUGCCCCAGUGAGGAAAGGAUGAUGGAGACUAUGAUUCCCCCACAAGUCGGGAUGAGACUCCGGACUUUAUGAAAAAUAAAAGAGGCCAAAGAAUCCCAAAUAAAAAAAAGAGGCCAAAGAAGCCCACCAAAGAAACAAAAAAAAUGAGAGAAAAAGAGAGAAGGGGCAAUGUUACUAUCCUUUUACCACACUUGUGCUUCAAAGUAGCACCAUGUUCUUCAUAUAGAGAGUCUCUUAAGUUAUCACUUUCAUAUACUAGUGGGAAUUUUCAUUAUAGAACUUGGCUUGUAUAUUCUGAUGAUGGGCUUCCUCAAAUGCCCGAGGUCUUCAUGAGCAAGCAAGUUGGAUGCACACCCACUUAGUUUCAGUUUGAGCUUUCAUACACUUAUAGCUCUAGUGCAUCCAUUGCAUGGCAAUCCCUACUCCUCACAUUGACAUCAAUUGAUGGGCAUCUCCAUAGCCCGUUGAUUAGCCGCGUCGAUGUGAGACUUUCUCCUUUUUUGUCUUCUCCACAUAACCCCCACCAUCAUAUUCUAUUCCACCUAUAGUGCUAUGUCCAUGGCUCACGCUCAUGUAUUGCGUGAAAAUUGAAAAGGUUUGAGAACGUCAAAAGUAUGAAACAAUUGCUUGGCUUGUCCUCGGGGUUGUGCAUGAUUUGAAUAUUUUGUGUGGUGAAGAUGGAGCAUAGCCAGACUAUAUGAUUUUGUAGGGAUUACUUUCUUUGGCCACGUUAUUUUGAAAAGACAUGAUUGCUUUAUUAGUAGGCUUGAAGUAUUAUUGUUUUUAUGUCAAAUGAUAGACUAUUGCUUUGAAUCACUCGUGUCUUAAAAUUCAUGCCCUGAUUAGAUACAUGAUCAAGAUUAUGCUAGGUAGCAUUCCACAUCAAAAAUUAUCUUUAUUAUUAUUUACCUACUCGAGGACGAGUAGGAAUUAAGCUUGGGGAUGCUGAUACGUCUCCAUCAUAUCUAUAAUUUUUGAUUGUUCCAUGCCAAUAUUCUACAACUUUCAUAUACUUUUGGCAACUUUUUAUAUUAUUUUUGGGACUAACAUAUUGAUCCAGUGCCCAGUGUCAGUUCCUGUCUGUUGCAUGUUUUAUGUUUCGCAGAAUAUCCAUAUCAAACCGAAUCCAAACGGGAUAAAAACGGACGGAGCUUAUUUUUGGAAUAUUUGGAAAUUUCCGGAAGAAAAAUCCACGCGAGACGGUGCCCGAGGUGGCCACGAGGCAGGGGGGCGCGCCCCUGACCCUCGUGGGCCACCCGUAAGGCGGUUGAUGCCCUUCUUCGGCCGCAAGAAAGAUACUUUUUGGUAAAAAAUCGCGGCGAAGGUUUCAGUCCAAUCGGAGUUACGGAUCUCCAGAUAUAAAAGAAACGGUGGAAGGGCAGCAGGGAGAACGCAGAAACAGAGAGAGACAGAGAGAUAGAUCCAAUCUCGGAGGGGCUCUCGCCCCUCCCACGCCAUGGAGGCCAAGGAGCAGAGGGGAAACCCUUCUCCCAUCUAGGGAGGAGGUCAAGGAAGAAGAAGAAGGAGGGGGGCUCUCUCUCCCUCGCUGCCGAUAGCGCCGGAGUGCCACCGGGGGCCAUCAUCAUCACCGCAAUCUUCACCAACAACUUCACCGCCAUCAUCACCAACUCUUCCCCCCUCUAUGCAGCGGUGUAAUCACUCUCUUACCCGCUGUAAUCGCUACUUAAACAUGGUACUCAACGCUAUAUAUUAUUUCCCAAUGAUGUAUGGCUAUCCUAUGAUGUUUGAGUAGAUCCGUUUUGUCCUAUGGGCUAUUUGAUGAUCAAGAUUGGUUUGAGUUGCAUGUUUUAUUAUUGGUGCUGUCCUAUGGUGCUCUCCGUGUCGUGCAAGCGUGAGGGAUUCCCGAUGUAGGGUUUGCAAUAUGUUCAUGAUUUUCUUAUGGUGGGUGGCGUGAGUGACAGAAGCACAGACCCGAGUAAGUAGGUUGUUUGCGUAUGGGAUAAAGAGGACUUGAUACUUUAAUGCUAUGGUUGGGUUUUACCUUAAUGAUCUUUAGUAGUUGCGGAUGCUUGCUAGAGUUCCAAUCAUAAGUGCAUAUGAUCCAAGUAGAGAAAGUAUGUUAGCUUAUGCCUCUCCCUCAAAUAAAAUUGCAAUAAUGAUUACCGGUCUAGUUAUCGAUUGCCUAGGGACAAAUAACUUUCCCGUAACAAAAAGCUCUUUACUAAUUUUGUUGUGUCCUCAUCUAAACAGCCCCUACUUUUUAUUUGCGUGCUCUUCAUAUUCUUGCAAGCUUACCCAAAAACACCUACAAAGUACUUCUAGUUUCAUACUUGUUCUAGGUAAAGCGAACGUCAAGCAUGCGUAGAGUUGUAUCGGUGGUCGAUAGAACUUGAGGGAAUAUUUGUUCUACCUUUAGCUCCUCGUUGGGUUCGACACUCUUACUUAUCGAAAGAGGCUACAAUUGAUCCCCUAUACUUGUGGGUUAUCAAUAUCCCUUGUUAUAAGUCUGCUAGACAAUGCUUAAUGAGUUUGACAAUUUCAUUGUUAAACAAGAAAACUUUAAUGCUUAUUUUGGUAGACAAUUGAAAUAUAAUUCCGAUACGCUUGAAUACUUGGGUGAUUAUAUGUCUAGAGUUAAAGGUGAACUUAAACUCAUUAGUAAACAUGCUUCUAUGGUUACCACUCAAGUAGAACAAGUACUUAAGGCUCAGAAUGAUUUGCUCAAUGAAUUAAAUAGUAAGAAUAAUGAUUUUGCUGUUAGAGUGGCCACUAGAACUGGUAAAAUGACUCAGGAACCUUUGUAUCCUGAAGGCCAUCCUAAGAGAAUUGAGCAAGAUUCUCAAAGAACUAAUUUAGAUGCACCUAGUCCUUCUAAAAAGAAGAAAAAGAAAAAUGAUAGGACUUUGCAUGCUUCUAGUGAACCUAUUGCUGAAACACCUGAGAAUCCAAAUGAUAUUUCUAUUUCUGAUGCUGAAACACAAUAUGGUAAUGAACAUGAACCUAGUGAUAAUGUUAAUGAUAAUGUUCAUGAUGAUGCUUAACCUAGCAAUGAUAAUGAUGUAGAAAUUGAACCUGCUGUUGAUCUUGAUAACCCACAAUCAAAGAAUCAACGUUAUGAUAAGAGAGACUUUGUUGCUAGGAAGCACGGUAAGGAAAGAGAGCCAUGGGUUCAGAAACCCAUGCCUUUUCCUCCCAAACCAUCCAAGAAAAAGGAUGAUGAGGAUUUUGAGCGCUUUGCUGAAAUGAUUAGACCUAUCUUCUUGCGUAUGCGAUUAACUGAUAUGCUCAAAAUGAAUCCUUAUGCUAAGUAUAUGAAAGAAAUUGUCACUAAUAAAAGAAAGAUACCAGAAGCUGAAAUUUCCACCAUGCUUGCUAAUUACACUUUUAAGGGUGGAAUACCUAAGAAACUAGGAGAUCCAGGAGUACCAACUAUACCAUGCUCCAUUAAAAGAAACUAUGUUAAAACUGCUUUAUGUGAUCUUGGAGCCGGUGUUAGUGUUAUGCCUCUCUCUUUAUAUCGUAGACUUGAUUUGAAUAAGUUGACACCUAAUGAAAUAUCUUUGCAAAUGGCUGAUAAAUCAACUGCUAUACAUGUCGGUAUUUGUGAGGAUGUGCCUGUUGUGGUUGCAAACGUUACUAUUUUAACGGACUUUGUUAUUCUUGAUAUUCCCGAGGACGAUAGUAUGUCUAUUAUUCUUGGAAGACCCUUUUUGAAUACUGCAGGGGCUGUUAUUGAUUGCAACAAAGGCAAUGUCACUUUUCAUGUUAAUGGUAAUGAGCAUACGGUACACUUUCCGAGGAAACAACCUCAAGUUCAUAGUAUAAAUUCUAUUGGAAAAAUUCCAUCAAUUAUUUUUGGAGGUUUUGAAUUUCCUCUACCUACUGUCAAGAAGAAAUAUGAUAUUCUUAUUAUUGGGGAUGUGCAUAUCCCCGUUGAGGUAACGUACAUAGUGUUAUUCGAAAUUUCUCCGGUUCCAUGUUAGUCGGAAUGAGUUUGUUAACAAGACUUGAUCAACCUUGUUAGUGGAUUCCUUUUGAUGAGCAUGAGAUGGAUGAAGUUAGAAAGCACAACCUUCUGUACCCUCCUUUUACUUUCUGUUAUUUAGUUGAAAUAAAGUAAAAUUAGUAUUUUUCUGUCUGUUUUCUGAAUUAUCCGUGCAAUAUAAAAUACCCCGAAAAUAAAAGUUCUCCAAAUGCCCCGAAAUUGAAAUAUGAUUUUUUCUGGAAUAUUUGAGAAUAUCUGGCACUGAGAACACAGCAGGGGGAGCAAGCACCUAGCCACGAGGGUCCAGGGCGCGCCCACCCCUACAGGGCGCGCCCCUGCCUCGUGGGCCCACGGUGUCUCCCCUCCACUUAUUCCUGCACCCACACACUUCUUCUUCCUUCCAAAAAAAUCACCAUCCAGCUCAAGCACGAGUUCUAGCUCAUUUUGCUGCGAUUUUCGAUCUCCUUGCUCAAAGCACCUCUCACAAAACUGCUUGGGGGGAUUGUUCCUUGGUAUGUGACUCCUCCAUUGGUCCAAUUAGUUUUUGUUCUAGUGCUUUAUUCAUUGCAAAUUUGUGCUGCCUAGGUGACCAUGUUCUUGAGCUUGCAUGUCAAAUUUAUAUGGUUCCAAGUAGUUCUAAUGCAUGAUAUAGGCUCUAGGCACUUGUAGGAGUAGUUGCUAUCAAUUUUGUUGAGCUUGGUUCACUUUUAUUUGAAGUUACUAAAAAUUUCAGAAAUUUUUCAGAGGAAGAAAUAUGUUUAGGAAAAUGUACCAAGGCGGCCCUUCAAGGAAGCAAGGACCCAGGCUCGCAAUGCGCGAUGCCGAUGAUGAGCCACCAAGGAAUGCUCCAGUGUGGCCUUGUGAAUGGCCUUCAGAAGACUUUAUGGAUCGAGCGGGAAUCAAGGAAGAAUUUAACGCGUAUUUGCGUAAUGCCGAUCUUGUGAGCUUCGAGGCAGAAAAGUGCCGCUAGUACCACUAUCUCACUAGUUCCUUUGUGAGGAGGUUUGAAUUUUCAUCUUCACGCAAUUCUCAAACUGUCCUGUUUGAUCUUUAUGAAAAAUCUUAUACUAUGGACUUAGAGGAUUUUACCACUGCUUGCAAACUUCCACAAUGGGGUAGUGCUAGUGAACCUCGCAAAUCUGAAUUUAGAGAUUUUCUUGCUAGUAUAACUAUGGGGGAAUCUAGAGAUAUAGCCCAAGCUACCAUAGGGAGCAUUCAUUUUCCUGCUAUACAUUAUUUUGCUCUCUUCAUAGGUAGGUGCAUAAAUGGUAAAGAUGAAGCAUGUCAUAUGUGUGUCCCUGACCUCAGUGUUCUCAGGAGUGCUGUGUUAGGAGAUAAAUCUUAUAAUUUGGGAGCCAUUGUUGCACGUAGGUUGCAUCAUAAUAGAUUUAAUGGAGAUUUCUUUGGUGGAAUUUAUGCAACCCGCUUAGCUGAUUUUCUUGGUGUAACCAUACGUGAUGAUGAUAUUGAAUAGCCUCCUACUUAUCUAGACUUUAAUGAUAUGGUUCACCAUCAGUUUGUUGGGAGGAAUGAACCGCCUCUCCAGUACCGACUAAUCUUUGACAGGCGUCACGCUGUCAAUAUUGUCCUCCCUGCUCCCGCUUUCUUUGACUUUCAGGAAAAAGGGAGACAUUACAUAACCAAAGAGGAGGCGGAGGAGUAUAAGAGGAGGGCUGAGAUAGCUCGCCUCCAAGCUGCAGCACACGAUGCAAUGGCCGCUGCAUCCCAGUACGACCCAAACUACAACUUUGGAUAUCUGCCAGGCCAUCUGUGGCAAUAUACCAACUUAGGCCAAAAGCCUAAGCUUGGGGGAGUACGUAUUUCUCACCGAUGUUACAUUCAUGUUCACACACUCAUUGCUAGAUGUCGGUGCUCAUACUUUUUCACUGUAAUAUCCAUGCUAAUUUAUUUUCUUUUUCUUGCUUUCUUCUUGUGUGUUUGUUAAACCUUAAGAAAAAAAUCAGUUGUAGCUUUUAGUUAGUUCACUUUUCUUGCUGUAGUAAUAAUUAAAAAGAAAACCCCAAAAGAUUUUCUUUUCUUCUUUUGCUUGUUGGGAGCUUUCCCGUGUAAAUAGUUUUAUUUCUUUGGGGGUCGAUAGGAGAAGACCAUAAUUAAAAUGUUGAAGCGGCUCUUAUAUGCAUUAUUGUUGAAUUGCCCAAGAGCCCAUAUUGCCUUGUCUUCUCCUGUUUAUUGAAUGCUCGCAGAUUCCAGCUUAGUCCAAUGCACGUGCACUAUUAUUAUUAUUCACAUCAUUCGGUCGUGCAAGUGAAAGGCAAUUAUGACGAUAUAUGAUGGACUGAUUGAGAUGAGAGAAGCUGGUAUGAACUCGACCUCUCUUGUUUUUGCAAAUAUGAUUAGUUCAUCGUUCCUGAUUCAGCUUAUUAUGAAUAAACAUGUUUGCAAUGACAAUUAGAGAUUAUAAUUUCUUAUGCCAUUCUUAAUUAGCUAGGAGCUUAUAAUGGUUUACCUUGCGUGCCAACAUGCUAUUAAAAUGGUUGUGAUGUGGUAUGAUGGGGUGGUAUCCUCCUUUGAAUGAUUUAAGUGACUUGACAUGGCACAUGUUCACGCAUGUAGUUGAAACAAAUCAACAUAGCCUUCACGAUAUUUAUGUUCAUGGUGGAUUAUAUCCUACUCAUGCUUGUACUCAAUGUUUGUUAAUUUUAAUGCAUGUUCAUGACUGUUGUCGCUCUCUAGUUGGUCGCUUCCCAGUCUUUUGCUAGCCUUCAGUUGUACUAAGGGGAAUACUGCUUGUGCAUCCAAUUCCUUAAACCCCAAAGUUAUGCCAUAUGAGUCCACUAUACCUUCCUAUAUGCGGUAUCUACCUGCCGUUCCAAGUAAAUUUGUAUGUGCCAAACUCUAAACCUUCAAAUGAAAUUCUAUUUUGUAUGCUCGAAUAGCUCAUGUAUCAACUAGCGCUGUCCGUAUCUUCCAUGCUAGGUGGGUUAUUCUCAAGAGGAGUGGACUCCGCUCCUCACUCACGAGAAAAUGGCUGGUCACCGGGAUACCCAGUCCCAUGCUUUAUGCAAACUAAAUCAAAAUAAUUGCAAACAAAACUCCCAUAGGACUGUUGUUUGUUGGAGGCACUCAUUGUUUCGAGCAAGCCAUGGAUUGAUGCUUAUUGGUGGAGGGGGAGUAUAAACUUUACCAUUCUGUUUGGGAACUGCCUAUAAUGUGUGUAGCAUGGAAGAUAUCGCCAUCUCUUGGUUGUUAUGUUGACAAUGAAAGUAUGCCGCUCAAAAUAUUAUUUAUCUCUGCUUUAAAAUCGAGCUCUGGCACCUCUACAAAUCCCUGCUUCCCUCUGCGAAGGGCCUAUCUAUUUACUUUCAUGUUGAGUCAUCACCCUCUUAUUAAAAAGCACCAGUUGGAGAGCGCUACUGUCAUUUGCAUCCAUUACUAUUAAUUUAUAUUGGGUAUGACUAUGAUUGGAUCUCUUUUGCCAUGAAUUACAAUGUCUAGUCAGUCCUUGAUCUCUAAAGGAGCUCUGCAUUGAUGUUUUGCGGUCUCAGAAAGGGCUAGCGAGAUACCAUCCUGUUAUAUCAUAUUAUGAUUGUUUUGAGAAAGUGUUGUCAUCCGAGAUUUAUUAUUAUUGCUCGCUAGUUGAUUAUGUCAUUGAUAUGAGUAAACAUGAGACCUAAGUGUUAUUGUGAAUAUGGUUAGUUAUAAUCUUUCCUGAAAACUUGAAUGCUGGCUUUACAUAUUUACAACAACAAGAGCAAACAGAGUUCGUAAAAGCUUUUCUGUAUCACUUUCAGUUUAUCAACUGAAUUGCUUGAGGACAAGCAAAGGUUUAAGCUUGGGGGAGUUGAUACGUCUCCGUCGUAUCUACUUUUCCAAACACUUUUGCCCUUGUUUUGGACUCUAACUUGCAUGAUUUCAAUGGAACUAACCCGGACUGACGCUGUUUUCAGCAGACUUUCCAUGGUGUUAUUUAUGUGCAGAAACAAACGUUCUCGGAAUGACCUGAAACUCCAUGGAACUUAUUUUUGGAAAAUAUAAAAAAUACUGGAAGAAGAAUCCACGGCAGGGGGGCCUCCACCUGUCCACGAGGGUGGGGGGCGCGCCUGCCCCCCUGGGCGCGCCCCGGUGCCUCGUGGGCCCCCUGACGCUCCACCGACCUCAACUCCAACUCCAUAUAUUCGUGUUCGGGGAGAAAAAAAAUCAGAGAGAAGGAUUCAUCGCGUUUUACGAUACGGAGCCGCCGCCAAGCCCUAAAACCUCUCGGGAGGGCUGAUCUGGAGUCCGUUCGGGGCUCCGGAGAGGGGAAUCCGUCGCUGUCGUCAUCAUCAACCAUCCUCCAUCACCAAUUUCAUGAUGCUCACCGCCGUGCGUGAGUAAUUCCAUCGUAGGCUUGCUGGACGGUGAUGGGUUGGAUUUGAUUUAUCAUGUAAUCGAGUUAGUUUUGUUAGGUUUUGAUCCCUAGUAUCCACUAUGUUCUGAGAUUGAUGUUGCUAUGACUUUGCUAUGCUUAAUGCUUGUCAAUAGGGCCCGAGUGCCAUGAUUUCAGAUCUGAACCUAUUAUGUUUUCAUGAAUAUAUGUGAGUUCUUGAUCCUAUCUUGCAAGUCUAUAGUCACCUACUAUGUGUUAUGAUCCGGCAACCCCGAAGUGACAAUAAUCGGGACCACUCCCGGUGAUGACCAUAGUUUGAGGAGUUCGUGUAUUCACUAUGUGUUAAUGCUUUGGUCCGGUACUCUAUUAAAAGGAGGCCUUAAUAUCCCUUAGUUUCCGUUAGGACCCCGCUGCCACGGGAGGGUAGGACAAAAGAUGCCAUGCAAGUUCUUUUCCAUAAGCACGUAUGACUAUAUUCGGAAUACAUGCCUACAUUAUAUUGAUGAAUUGGAGCUAGUUCUGUGUCACCCUAUGUUAUGACUGUUACAUGAUGAACCGCAUCCGGCAUAAUUCCCCAUCACCGAUCCAAUGCCUACGAGCUUUUCACAUAUUGUUCUUCGCUUAUUUACUUUUCCGUUGCUAUUGUUACAAUCAUCACAAAACCCAAAAAUAUUACUUUUGCUACUGCUACCGUUACUUCCAUAUUACUUUGCUACUAAAUACUUUGCUGCAGAUACUAAGUUAUCCAGGUGUGGUUGAAUUGACAACUCAACUGCUAAUACUUGAGAAUAUUCUUUGGCUCCCCUUGUGUCGAAUCAAUAAAUUUGGGUUGAAUACUCUACCCACAAAAACUGUUGCGAUCCCCUAUACUUGUGGGUUAUCACACGUAUGGUAACCGUUGUGUGACAAAUUUGAAGCAUGAGGUAUUUCUUUGAUUGUCUUCCUUUGUGUGGAGGUUGGGAUCGCGCGAUGGUUAACUCCUACCAACCCUUCCCCUAGGGGCAUGCGUGUAGUACUUUGUUUUGAUGACCUGUAGAUUUUUGCAAUAAGUAUAUGAGUUCAUUAUGACUAAUGUUGAGUCCAUGGAUUAUACGCACUCUCACCUUUCCAUCAUUGCCAGCCUCUUCUGUACCGUGCAUUGCCCUUUCUCACCUCGAGAGUUGGUGCAAACUUCGCCGGUGCAUCCAAACCCUGUGAUAUGAUACGCUCUAUCACACAUAAACCUCCUUAUAUCUUCCUCAAAACAGCCACCAUACCUACCUAUUAUGGCAUUUCCAUAGCCAUUCCGAGAUAUAUUGCCAUGCAACUUUCCACCGUUUCAUUUAUUAUGACACGCUUCAUCAUUGUUAUAUUGCCUUGCAUGAUCAUGUAGUUGACAUCGUAUUUGUGGCAAGGCCACCAUGCAUAAUUUUUCAUACAUGUCACUCUUGUUUCAUUGCUCAUCCCGAUACACCGCCGGAGGCAUUCAUAUAAAGUCAUAUCUUGUUCUAGUAUCGAGUUGUAAUCAUUGAGUUGUAAAUAAAUAGAAGUGUGAUGAUCAUCAUUAAUAGAGCAUUGUCCCAAAUAAAAAAAGAAAAAGAAAAGAAAGGCCAAAAAAAGAAAGGCCAAAUAAAAAAAGGAAGGCCCAAAAAAAGAAGGGGCAAUGCUACUAUCCUUUUUCCACACUUGUGCUUCAAACUAGCACCAUGAUCUUUAUGAUAGAGAGUCUCUUAUGUUGUCACUUUCAUAUACUAGUGGGAAUUUUUCAUUAUAGAACUUGGCUUGUAUAUUCCAACAAUGGGCUUCCUCAAAUGCCCUAGGUCUUCGUGAGCAAGCAAGUUGGAUGCACACCCACUUAGUUUCUUUUGUUGAGCUUUCAUACAUUUAUAGCUCUAGUGCAUCUGUUGCAUGGCAAUCCCUACUCCUUGCAUUGACAUCAAUUGAUGGGGAUCUCCAUAGCCCGUUGAUUAGCCGUGUCAAUGUGAGACUUUCUCCUUUUUUAUCUUCUCCACACAACCCCCAUCAUUAUAUUCUAUUCCACCCAUAGUGCUAUAUCCAUGGCUCACGCUCAUAUAUUGCGUGAAGGUUGAAAAAGUUUGAGAUUACUAAAGUAUGAAACAAUUGCUUGGCUUGUCAUCGGGGUUGUGCAUGAUGAGAGCAUUCUUGUGUGACGAAAAUGGAGCAUGACCAAACUAUAUGAUUUUGUAGGGAUGAACUUUCUUUGGCCAUGUUAUUUUGAGAAGACAUAAUUAUUUUGUUAGUAUGCUUGAAGUAUUAUUAUUUUUAUGUCAAUAUUAAAGUUUUAUCUUGAAUCUUUCGGAUCUGAACAUUCAUGCCACAAUAAAGAAAAUUACAUUGAGAAUUAUGCUAGGUAGCAUUCCACAUCAAAAAUUCUGUUUAUAUCAUUUACCUACUCGAGGACGAGCAGGAAUUAAGCUUGGGGAUGCUUGAUACGUCUCGAACGUAUCUAUAAUUUUUGAUUGUUCUAUGCUAUUAUAUUAUCUGUUUUGUAUGUUUAAUGGGCUUUAUUAUGCACUUUUAUAUUAUUUUUGGGACUAACCUACUAACCCAAGGCCCAGUGCAAAUUGCUGUUUUUUUGCCUAUUUCAGUGUUUCGCAAAAAAGGAAUAUCAAACGGAAUGAAACCUUCGGGAGAGUUAUUCUUGGAACAAACGCAAUCCAGGAGACUUGGAGUGGACGUCAAGGAAGUAACAAGGCGGCCACGAGAUAGGGAGGCGCGCCCAGGGGGUAGACGCGCCCUGCUACCUCUUGAGCACUGCGUUGGUUUUCCCUUGAAGAGGCAAGGGUGAUGCAGUAAAGUAGCGUAAGUAUUUCCCUCAGUUUUUGAGAACCAAGGUAUCAAUCCAGUAGGAGACCACGCUCAAGUCCCACGCACCUACACAAACAAAUAAGAACCUUGCAACCAACGCGAUAAAGGGGUUGUCAAUCCGUUCAUGGCCGCUUGCAAAAGUGAGAUCUGAUAGAGAUGAUAAGAUAAUAUUUUUGGUAUUUUUAUGAUAAAGACUAAAAGUAAAGAAAGCAAAGUAAACGGUAAUAGAAAUAACUUGUUGACGGGAGAUUAAUAUGAUGGAAAAUAGACCCGGGGGCCAUAGGUUUCACUAGUGGCUUCUCUCAAGAUAGCAUAAGUAUUACGGUGGGUAAACAAAUUACUGUCGAGCAAUUGAUAGAAUUGAGCAUAGUUAUGAGAAUAUCUAGGUAUGAUCAUGUAUAUAGGCAUCACAUCCGUGACAAGUAGACCGACUCCUGCCUGCAUCUACUACAAUUACUCCACACAUCGACCGCUAUCCAUCAAGCAUCUAGAGUAUUAAGUUCAUAAGAACGGAGUAACGCUUUAAGCAAGAUGACAUGAUGUAGAGGGAUAAACUCAUGCAAUAUGAUAAAAACCCCAUCUUUUUAUCCUCGAUGGCAACAAUACAAUACGUGUCGUUUCCCCUACUGUCACUGGGAUCGAGCACCGCAAGAUUGAACCCAAAGCUAAGCACUUCUCCCAUUGCAAGAAAGAUCAAUCUAGUACGCCAAACCAAACUGAUAAUUCGGAGAGACUUGCAAAGAUAACCAAUCAUACAUAAAAGAAUUCAGAGGAGAUUCAAAUAUUGUUCAUAGAUAAUCUUGAUCUUAAACCCACAAUUCAUCGGAUCUCGACAAACACACUGCAAAAGAAGAUUACAUCGAAUAGAUCUCCCAGAGAAUCGAGGAAAACUUUGUAUUGAGAUCCAAAGAGAGAGAACAAGCCAUCAAGCUAAUAACUAUGGACCCGAAGGUCUGAGGUAAACUACUCACACAUCAUCGGAGAGGCUAUGGUGUUGAUGUUGAAGUCCUCCGUGAUCGAUUCCCCCUCCGGCGGAGCGCCGGAAACGGCCCCAAGAUGGGAUCUCACGGGUAUAGAAGGUUGCGGCGGUGGAAAUAGGGUUUUGGCUCUGCCCCUGAUGUUUUCGGGGUACGUAGGUAUAUAUAGGAGGAAGAAGUAGGUCGGUGGAGCUACGAGGGGCCCACGAGGGUGGAGGGCGCGCCCCCUGCCUCGCGCCCUCCUCAUUGCUUGCUUGAUGUCCACUCCAAGUCCUCUGGAUCACGUUUGUUCCGAGAAUCACGUUCCCGAAGGUUUCAUUCCGUUUGGACUCCGUUUGAUAUCCUUUUCCUUCGAAACACUGAAAUAGGCAAAAAAACACUAAUUUGGGCUGGGCCUCCGGUUAAUAGGUUAGUCCCAAAAAUAAUAUAAAAGUGUAUAAUAAAGCCCAUUGAACAUCCAAAACAGAAUAUAUAAUAGCAUGGAACAAUAAAAAAUUAUAGAUACGUUGGAGACGUAUCACGCCCCGACCCUCGUGGGCCCCUCGUGGCUCCACCAACCUACUUCUUUCGCCUAUAUAUACUCAUAUACCCUGAAAACAUCUGAGAGCACCAAGAAACCCUAUUUCCACUGCCGCAACCUUCUGUACCCAUGAGAUCCCAUCUUGGGGCCUUUUCCGGUGCUCCGCCGGAGGGGGAAUCGAUCAUGGAGGGCUUCUACAUCAACACCAUAGCCUCUCCGAUGAUGUGUGAGUAGUUUACCACAGACCUUCGGGUCCAUAGUUAUUAGCUAGAUGGCUUCUUCUCUCUCUUUGGAUCUCAAUACAAAGUUUUCCUCGAUCUUCUUGGAGAUCUAUUCGAUGUAAUUCUUUUUGCAGUGUGUUUGUUGGGGAACGUAGCAGAAAUUCAAAAUUUUCCUACGUGUCACCAAGAUCAAUCUAUGGAGUCAUCUAGCAACGAGAGAGAGGGGAGUGCAUCUACAUACCCUUGUAGAUCGCGCGCGGAAGCGUUCAAGAGAACGGGGUUGAUGGAGUCGUACUCGUCGUGAUCCAAAUCACCGAUGAUCCUAGCGCCGAACGGACGGCACCUCCGCGUUCAACACACGUACGGAGCGGGGACGUCUCCUCCUUCUUGAUCCAGCAAGGGGGGAGGAGAAGUUGAUGGAGAUCCAGCAGCACGACGGCGUGGUGGUGGAAGUAGCGGGAUCCCGGCAGGGCUUCGCCAAGCGCAAGCGGGGAGGAAGAGGUGUCACGGGAGGGAGGGAGGCGCCAGGGCUUGUGGUGCUGCUCCCAUGCGCCUCCCCACUAUAUAUAGGGGUGGAGGGGGCUGGUUUCUUGCCCUCCAAGUCCAUUGGGGCGUUGGCAAAGGUGGGAGAAAGAAAUCCCAUCAUUUCCCUUCCCCACCGAUUGUUAUCCCCCUUUUUAGGGAUCUUGAUCUUAUCCCUUCGGGAUAUGAUCUUAUUCCUUCUAAGGUGGGAUCUUGGUGCGCCUUGACCAGGGGUGUGGGGCCUUGCCCCCACUACCCACGUUCAUGUGGGUCCCCCUAUGCAGGUGGGCCCCACUUCGGAACCUUCUAGAACCUUCUCGGUACAAUACCGAAAAAUCCUGAACAUUUUCCGGUGACCAAAAUAGGACUUCCCAUAUAUAAAUCUUUACCUCCGGACCAUUCCGGAACUCCUCGUGACGUCCGGGAUCUCAUCCGGGACUCCGAACAACUUUCGGUUAACCGCAUACUAAUAUCUCUACAACUCUAGCGUCACCGAACCUUAAGUGUGUAGACCCUACGGGUUCGGGAGACAUGCAGACAUGACCGAGACGACUCUCUGGUCAAUAACCAACAGCGGGAUUUGGAUACCCAUGUUGGCUCCCACAUGUUCCACGAUGAUCUCAUUGGAUGAACCACGAUGUCGAGGAUUCAAUCAAUCCCGUAUACAAUUCCCUUUGUCAAUCGGUACGUUACUUGCCCGAGAUUCGAUCGUCGGUAUCCCAAUACCUUGUUCAAUCUCGUUACCGGCAAGUCACUUUACUCGUACCGUAACGCAUGAUCCCGUGGCUAACUCCUUAGUCACAUUGAGCUCAUUAUUAUGAUGCAUUACCGAGUGGGCCCAGAGAUACCUCUCCGUCGUAUGGAGUGACAAAUCCCAGUCUCGAUUCGUGCCAACCCAACAGACACUUUCGGAGAUACCUGUAGUGCACCUUUAUAGCCACCCAGUUACGUUGUGAAGUUUGGUACACCCAAAGCAUUCCUACAGUAUCCGGGAUUUGCAAAAUCUCAUGGUCUAAGGAAAUGAUACUUGACAUUAGAAAAGCUCUAGCAAACGAACUACACGAUCUUGUGCUAUGCUUAGGAUUGGGUCUUGUUCAUCACAUCAUUCUCCUAAUGAUGUGAUCCCGUUAUCAAUGACAUCCAAUGUCCAUGGUCAGGAAACCAUAACCAUCUAUUGAUCAACGAGCUAGUCAACUAGAGGCUUACUAGGGACAUGUUGUGGUCUAUGUAUUCACACAUGUAUUACGGUUUCCAGUUAAUACAAUUAUAGCAUGAACAACAGACAAUUAUCAUGAACAAGGAAAUACAAUAAUAACCAUUUUAUUAUUGCCUCUAGGGCAUAUUUCCAACAGUCUCCCACUUGCACUAGAGUCAAUAAUCUAGUUCACAUCACCAUGUGAUUAACACUCAAAGUUCACAUCGCCAUGUGACUAAUACCCAAGAGUUUACUAGAGUCAAUAAUCUAGUUCACAUCACCAUGUGAUUAACACUCAAUGAGUUCUAGGGUUUGAUCAUGUUAUGCUUACGAGAGAGGUUUUAGUCAACGGGUCUGCAACAUUCAGAUCCGUGUGUGCUUUACAAAUCUCUAUGUCAUCUUGUAGAUGCAGCUACCACGCGCUACUUGGAGCUAUUCCAAAUAACUACUCUACUAUACGAAUCCGGUUCACUACUCAGAGUCAUCCGGAUUAGUGUCAAAGUUUGCAUCGACGUAACCCUUUACGACGAACCCCCUUUCCACCUCCAUAAUCGAGAAAAUUCCUUAGUCCACUAGAUACUAAGGAUAAGUUCGACCGCUGUCAUGUGAUCCCUUCUUGGAUCACUAUUGUACCCCUUGACUAACUCAUGGCAAGGCACACUUCAGGUGCGGUACACAGCAUAGCAUAUUGUAGAGCCUACGUCUAAAGCAUAGGGGACGACCUUCGUCCCUUCUCUUUCUUCUGCCGUGGUCAGGUCUGGAGUCUUCCUCAAUAGUCACACCUUGUAACACAGCCAAGAACUCCUUCUUUGCUGAUCUAUUUUGAACUCCUUCAAAAUCUUGUCACGGUAUGUAUUCAUUUGAAAGUACUAUUAAGCGUUUUUGAUCUAUCCUUAUAGAUCUUGAUGCUCAAUGUUCGAGUAUAGCUUAAUCUAGGUUUUCCAUUAAAAACACUUUUCAAAUAACCUUGGAUGCUUUCUAGAAAUUCUACAUCAUUUCUGAUCAACAAUAUGUUAACAACAUAUAAUCAUCAAAAAUUCUAUUGUGCUCCCACUCACUUCUCUGGAAAUACAAGUUUCUCAUGAACUUUGUAUAAACCCAAAAUCUUUGAUCAUCUCAUCAAAGCGUUCAUUCCAACUCCGAGAUGCUUACUCCAAUCCUUAGAAGGAUUGCUGGAGCUUUGCAUACUUGUUAGCAUCUUUCAGGAUUGACAAAACCUUCUGGUUGUAUCACAUACAACCUUUCCUCAAGAAAAUCGUCGAGGAAACAAUGUUUUGACAUCCUAUCUGCAAGAUUUCAUAAAUAAUGCAGUAACUGCUAAUAUAAUUCUAACAGGCUCUUAGCAUCGCUACGAGUGAGAAAGUCUCAUCGCAGUCAACUCCUUGAACUUGCCGGAAAACAUCUUAACAACAAGUCGAGCUUUCUUAAUGGUGACACUUACCAUCAUUGUCUGUCUUCCCUUUAAAAUCCAUCUGUACCCAACAGCCUUACGACCAUCAAGUAGUUCUUUCAAAGUCUAUACUUUGUUUUCAUACAUGGAUCCUCUCGGAUUUUAUGGCCUCGAGCCAUUCGUCGGAAUCCGGGCCCACCAUCGCUUCUCCAUAGCUCGUAGGUUCAUUGUUGUCUAGCAACAUGACUUCCAAGACAGGAUUACGUACCACUCUGAAGUAGUACGCAUCCUUGUCGUCCUAUGAGGUUUGGUAGUGACUUGAUCUGAAGUUUCAUGAUCACUGUCAUAAGCUUCCACUUUAAUUGGUGUAGGUGCCACAGGAACAACUUCCUGUGCCCUGCUACACAUUAGUUGAAGUGACGGUUCAGUGAACUCAUCAAGUCUCCACCAUCCUCCCACUCAAUUCUUUCGAGAGAAACUUUUCCUCGAGAAAGGACCCAUUUCUAGAAACAAUCACUUUUGCUUCCAGAUCUGAAACAGGAGGUAUACCCAACUGUUUUGGGUAUUCUAUGAAGAUGCAUUUAUCCGCUUUGGGUUCGAGCUUAUCAGCCUGAAACUUUUUCACAUAAGCGUCGCAGCCCCAAACUUUUAAGAAACGACAGCAUAGGUUUCUCUAAACCAUAGUUCAUACGGUGUCGUCUCAACGGAAUUGCGUGGUGCCCUAUUUAAAGUGAAUGCGGUUGUCUCUAAUGCCUAACCCAUAAACGAUAGUUGUAAUUCGAUAAGAGACAUCAUGGUAUGCACCAUAUCCAAUAGGGUGCAGUUAUGAUGUUCGGACACACCAUCACAAUAUGGUGUUCCAGGCGGUAUUAGUCAUGAAACAAUUUCCACAAUUUCUUAAUUGUGUGUCAAACUCGUAACUCAGAUAUUCAUCUCUAUGAUCAUAUCACAGACAUUUUAUCCUCUUGUCACGACGAUCUUCAACUUCACUCUGAAAUUACUUGAACCUUUCAAUAAUUCAGACUUGUGUUUCAUCAAGUAAAUAUUCUCAGCAUCUACUCAAAUCAUCUGUGAAGUAAGAACAUAACGAUAUCCACUGCGUGCCUCAGCACUCAUUGGACUGCACACAUCAAAUGUAUUACUUCCAACAAGUUGCUCUCUUGUUCCAUCUUACUGAAAACGAGGCCUUUCAGUCAUCUUGCCCAUGUGGUAUGAUUUGCAUGUCUCAAGUGAUUCAAAAUCAAGUGAGUCCAAAUGAUCCAUCUGUAUGGACUUUCUUCAUGCAUAUAUACUAAUAGACAUGGUUCGCAUGUCUCAAUCUUUUCAAAAACGAGUGAGUCCAAAGAUCCAUCAACAUGGAGCUUCUUCAUGCGUUUUAUACCAAUAUGACUCAAGUGGCAGUGCCACAAGUAUGCGGUACUAUCAUUACUAUCUUAUAUCUUUUGGCAUGAACAUGUGUAUCACUACGAUCGAGAUUCAAUAAACCAUUCAUUUUAGGUGCAAGACCAUUGAAGGUAUUAUUCAAAUAGACAGAGUAACCAUUAUUCUCCUUUAAUGAAUAACCGUAUUGCGAUAAACAUAAUCCAAUCAUGUCUAUGCUCAACGCAAACACCAAAUAACAAUUAUUCAGGUUUAACCCCAAUCUCGAUGGUAGAGGGAGCAUGCGAUGCUUGAUCACAUCAACCUUGGAAACACUUCCAACACAUAUCGUCAUCUCACCUUUAGCUAGUCUCCGUUUAUUCCGCAGCUUUUAUUUCGAGUUACUAACACUUAGCAACCAAACCGGUAUCUAAUACCCUGGUGCUACUAGGAGUACUAGUAAAGUACACAUUAAUAUAAUGUAUAUCCAAUAUACUUCUGUCGACCUUGCCUGCCUUCUCAUCUACCAAGUAUCUAGGGUAUUUCUGCUUCAGUAACCGUUCCCCUCAUUACAGAAGCACUUAGUCUCGGGUUUGGGUUCAACCUUGGGUUUCUUCACUAGAGCAGCAACUGAUUUGCCGUUUCAUGAAGUAUCCCUUCUUUCCCUUGCCCUUCUUGAAACUAGUGGUUUUACUAACCAUCAACAAUUGAUGCUCCUACUUGAUUCUUACUUUCGUGGUGUCAAACAUCGCGAAUAGCUCAAGGAUCAUCAUAUCUAUCCCUGAUUUGUUAUAGUUCAUCACGAAGCUCUAAUAGCUUGGUGGCAGUGACUAUGGAGAACCUUAACUAUCUCAUCUGGAAGAUUAACUCCCACUCGAUUCAAGUGAUUGUAGUACUCAGACAAUCUGAGCACAUGCUCAACAAUUGAGCUUUUCUCCCUUAGUUUGCAGGCUUAAGAAACUUGUCAGAGGUCUCAUACCUCUUGACGUGGGCACUAGUCUGAAAUCCCAAUUUCAGUCUUUGGAACAUCUCAUAUGUUCUGCGACCGUCUUUGGUGCCACAAUUUUAAACCGUUAGCAUCACACACUGAACUAUCACGUAGUCAUCAAAACGUGUAUGUCAGAUGUUUCGCAACAUCUACAGAAGACGCUCGAGGUUCAGCACACCGAGCGGUGCAUUAAGGACAUAAGACUUCUGUGCAGCAAUGAGGACAAUCCUCAGUUUACGGACCCAGUCCGCAUAAUUGCUGCUAUCAACUUUCAACUAAAUUUUCUAUAGGAACAUAUCUUAGUAGAACUAAAGCGUAAGCUAUGACAUUAUUUGCAAAGACCUUUUGACUAUGUUCAUGAUAAUUAAGUUCAUCUGAUUAUUUAAUGAACUCCCACUUAGAUAGACAUCCCUCUAGUCAUCUAAGUGAUACAUGAUCCGAAUCGACUAGGCCGUGUCCGAUCAUCACGUGAGACGGACUAGUCAUCAUCGGUGAACAUCUCCAUGUUGAUCGUAUCUACUAUACGACUCAUGUUCGACCUUUCGGUCUCUUGUGUUCCGAGGCCAUGUCUGUACAUGCUAGGCUCGUCAAGUCAACCUAAGUGUUUUGCUUGUGUUCCGAGGCCAUGUCUGUACAUGCUAGGCUCGUCAACACCCGUUGUAUGCGAACGUUAGAAUCUAUCACACCCGAUCAUCACGUGGUGCUUCAAAACAACGAACCUUCGCAACGGUGCACAGUUAGGGGGAACACAUCUCUUGAAAUUUUAGUGAGGGAUCAUCUUAUUUAUGCUACCAUCGUUCUAAGCAAAUAAGAUGUAAACAUGACAAACAUCACAUGCAAAUUAUAAAGUGACAUGAUAUGGCCAAUAUCAUCUUGCGCCUUUGAUCUCCAUCUUCGAGGCGCGGCAUGAUCACCUUCGUCACCGGCAUGACACCAUGAUCUCCAUCAUCAUGAUCUCCAUCAUCGUGUCUUCAUGAAGUUGUCUCGCCAACUAUUACUUCUACUACUAUGGCUAACGGUUAGCAAUAAAGUAAAGUAAUUACAUGGCAUUUUCAUUGACACGCAGGUCAUACAAUAAAUUAAGACAACUCCUAUGGCUCCUGCCGGUUGUCAUACUCAUCGACAUGCAAGUCGUGAUUCCUAUUACAAGAACAUGAUCAAUCUGAUACAUCACAUAUAUAAUUCAUCACAUCCUUUUGGCCAUAUCACAUCACAUAGCAUAGCCUGCAAAAACAAGUUAGACGUCUUCUAAUUGUUGUUGCAUGUUUUACGUGGCUGCUAUGGGUUUCUAGCAAGAACGUUUCUUACCUACGCAAAAGCCACAACGGUGAUAUGCCAAUUGCUAUUUACCCUCCAUAAGGACCCUUUUCAUCGAAUCCGAUCCGACUAAAGUGGGAGAGACAGACACCCGCUAGCCACCUUAUGCAUCAAGUGCAUGUCAGUCGGUGGAACCUGUCUCACGUAAGAGUACGUGUAAGGUCGGUCCGGGCCGCUUCAUCCCACAAUGCCGCCGAAUCAAGAUAAGACUAGUAAAGGUAAGCAAAUUGAACAAAUCGUCGCCCACAACUACUUUGUGUUCUACUCGUGCAUAGAAUCUACGCAUAAACCUGGCUCAUGAUGCCACUGUUGGGGAACGUAGCAGAAAUUCAAAAUUUUCCUACGUGUCACCAAGAUCAAUCUAUGGAGUCAUCUAGCAACGAGAGAGAGGGGAGUGCAUCUACAUACCCUUGUAGAUCGCGCGCGGAAGCGUUCAAGAGAACGGGGUUGAUGGAGUCGUACUCGUCGUGAUCCAAAUCACCGAUGAUCCUAGCGCCGAACGGACGGCACCUCCGCGUUCAACACACGUACGGAGCGGGGACGUCUCCUCCUUCUUGAUCCAGCAAGGGGGGAGGAGAAGUUGAUGGAGAUCCAGCAGCACGACGGCGUGGUGGUGGAAGUAGCGGGAUCCCGGCAGGGCUUCGCCAAGCGCAAGCGGGGAGGAAGAGGUGUCACGGGAGGGAGGGAGGCGCCAGGGCUUGUGGUGCUGCUCCCAUGCGCCUCCCCACUAUAUAUAGGGGUGGAGGGGGCUGGUUUCUUGCCCUCCAAGUCCAUUGGGGCGUUGGCAAAGGUGGGAGAAAGAAAUCCCAUCAUUUCCCUUCCCCACUGAUUGUUAUCACCCUUUUUAGGGAUCUUGAUCUUAUCCCUUCGGGAUAUGAUCUUAUUCCUUCUAAGGUGGGAUCUUGGUGCGCCUUGACCAGGGGUGUGGGGCCUUGCCCCCACUACCCACGUUCAUGUGGGUCCCCCCAUGCAGGUGGGCCCCACUUCGGAACCUUCUAGAACCUUCCCGGUACAAUACCGAAAAAUCCCGAACAUUUUCCGGUGGCCAAAAUAGGACUUCCCAUAUAUAAAUCUUUACCUCCGGACCAUUCCGGAACUCCUCGUGACGUCCGGGAUCUCAUACGGGACUCUGAACAACUUUCGGUUAACCGCAUACUAAUAUCUCUACAACUGUAGCGUCACCGAACCUUAAGUGUGUAGACCCUACGGGUUCGGGAGACAUGCAGACAUGACCGAGACGACUCUCCGGUCAAUAACCAACAGCGGGAUCUGGAUACCCAUGUUGGCUCCCACAUGUUCCAUGAUGAUCUCAUUGGAUGAACCACGAUGUCAAGGAUUCAAUCAAUCCCGUAUACAAUUUCCUUUGUCAAUCGGUACGUUACUUGCCCGAGAUUCAAUCGUCGGUAUCCCAAUACCUUGUUCAAUCUCGUUACCGGCAAGUCACUUUACUCGUACCGUAACGCAUGAUCCCGUGGCUAACUCCUUAGUCACAUUGAGCUCAUUAUGAUGAUGCAUUACCGAGUGGGCCCAGAGAUACCUCUCCAUCGUACGGAGUGACAAAUCCCAGUCUCGAUUCGUGCCAACCCAACAGACACUUUCGAAGAUACCUGUAGUGCACCUUUAUAGCCACUCAGUUACGUUGUGACGUUUGGUACACCCAAAGCAUUCCUACGGUAUCCGGGAGUUGCACAAUCUCAUGGUCUCAGGAAAUGAUACUUGACAUUAGAAAAGCUCUAGCAAACGAACUACACGAUCUUGUGCUAUGCUUAGGAUUGGGUCUUGUCCAUCACAUCAUUCUCCUAAUGAUGUGAUCCCGUUAUCAAUGACAUCCAAUGUCCAUGGUCAGGAAACCAUAACCAUCUAUUGAUCAACGAGAUAGUCAACUAGAGGCUUACUAGGGACAUGUUGUGGUCUAUGUAUUCACACAUGUAUUACGGUUUCCAGUUAAUACAAUUAUAGCAUGAACAACAGACAAUUAUCAUGAACAAGGAAAUACAAUAAUAACCAUUUUAUUAUUGCCUCUAGGGCAUAUUUCCAACAGUGUUUGUCAAGAUCCGAUGAAUUGUGGGUUUAUGAUCAAGAUUAUCUAUGAACACUAUUUGGUUCUUCUCUGAAUUCUUAUAUGUAUGAUGUGAUAUCUUUGCAAGUCUCUUCGAAUUAUCAGUUUGGUUUGGCCUACUAGAUUGAUCUUUCUUGCAACGGGAGAAGUGCUUAGCUUUGGGUUCAAUCUUAUCGCUUCCUUACUAGUUACUGUGCGCCGCAGUGCCAUGGACGACGCCUGGAGAGAGCUCUGGGACGGAGGGGCCGGGCAGCCGUACAGUGUGGUGGUAUUCAAGAGCUCAACCACAAAUGACAACAGAAAUUUGGCUUCCCUUACAAUUUUGCUCGUUCAUUAUCGCACACGGUUCAUCUCUGUCGCUUUCGGAAACAGUGUGCGCUGAGCCUAUUGUGUGUUUCGUUAUGAUUGGCCGGAACCCCAGCCACGCGGAUCGUGCGUGUACACCGUAGGAUGCGCCGCGAUCGAACGGCAAUCCACGUCCCUCACAUCACACACGUGCACCUGUAGCUGGAUUGGAUUUAUAUGCGCUAAAUGCCUAGAAAAUCGCAUAAUCCCCUAAAUAUGGUAAAUGAGCCCGGAAAAUGCCAAAUUUGAACACGGUGAUUUGCAGGGUGUAUGUUCGUCGUAGAAAAAAACUCCAGGGCAAAGAACAAAGAAAAUUAGGAUUCCCCUUCAAUCUUCAUGAUUUCCCUCUCGUAAGCAUGGAAAUUCUUUGGUGAUGGUUUGAUUUAUGAAGGGCGUGCAUGACGACAUAAGCAAAACCUUCUCAAAUUUUUACCAGGGCAUGGUGAGUUCAUACCAUGGACAAAAUGCCAGGCGUCAUGUUUUUCAAGCAUUUAUUUCAUUUUUUUUCUAUAGUUGAAAAACCAAUAAACAAACGUUUGUGGUUGACUAUUGCCACACAUUUCAUCGAAAUAUCUGUCCCUUCCUUGUAAAAGGCAUGAGAAUUUACUAAAUGGCACGAGCAUGGUUUUCCAGGCCGUUCUUGUGCACCCUUUCAUGCACCGAUUGUUUGAACUUGAAUUAUGUGCAUUAAUGCCUAGGAAAUGCACAUAAUUCCCUAAAUAUGGAAAAUGAACCCGGAAAAGUGCCAAAUUUGAACAUGGUGAUUUGCAGGUUGUAUGUUCAUCAUAAAAAAACUCGUGGACAAACGACAAAGGAAAUUUGGAUCCCCCUUCAAUCUUGGUGAUUUCCCCCUCGAAACCAUGAAACUUCCUCGGUGAUGGUUCGAUUUAUGAAAGGCGUGCAUCACGACAUAAGGAAAACAUUCUCCAAUUUUUACCAGGGCAUGGUGAGGCCAUACCAUGGCACCACGCCAGGCGUCAUGUUUUCCAACCAUGUGUUUCAUUUUUUGUAUAGUUGUUAACCCAGUAAACGAGGCGUUUAUGGUUGACUAUUGCCACACAUUUCCCUGAAAUAUCUGCCCAUUCCUUGUAAAAGGCAUGAGAAUGUACUAAAUAACACGAGCAUGGGUUUCCAGACCGUUCUUGUGCACCUUUUCAUGCACCGAUUGUUCGAAUUUGAAUUAUGUCCAUUAAUGCCUAGAAAAUGCACAUAAUCCCAUAAAUAUGGUAAAUGAGCCCGGAAAAAUUUCAAAUUUGAACACGUUGCAUUUGAGGCGAUAUGUUGAUCGUUGGAAAAAAACUGAAUGACAAACUAGGACGGAAAUUUGGAUUCCCCUUCAAUCUUGGGGAUUUCCCUCUCGAAAGCAUGGAACUAUUGGGGAACGUAGUAAUUUCAAAAAAAAUUCCUACGCACACGCAAGAUCAUGGUGAUGCAUAGCAACGAGAGGGGAGAGUGUGUCCACGUACCCUCGUAGACCGAAAGCGGAAGCGUUAUGACAACGCAAUUGAUGUAGUCGUACGUCUUCACGAUCCGACCGAUCCAAGUACCGAACGCACGGCACCUCCGAGUUCAGCACACGUUCAGCUCGAUGACGUCCCACGAACUCCGAUCCAGCAGAGCUUCGAGGGAGAGUUCCGUCAGCACGAUGGCGUGAUGAUGGUGAUGAUGAAGCUACCGACGCAGGGCUUCGCCUAAGAACCGCUACGAUAUGACCGAGGUAGAUUAUGGUGGAGGGGGGCACCGCACAUGGUUGGGAGAGAUCAACUAAUCAACUUGUGUGUCUAGAGGUGCCCCCUUGCCCCCGUAUAUAAAGGAGCAAGGGGGGAGAGGCGGCCGGCCAAGGAGGGCGCGCCAAGGGGGAAUCCUACUCCCACCGGGAGUAGGACUCCUCCUUUCCUUGUUGGAGUAGGAGAAGGGAAGGAAGGGAGAGAGGAGGAGAAGGAAAAAGGGGGGCGCCCCCCCUCCUUGUCCAAUUCGGACUAGAGGGGGAGGGGGCGCGCGGCUGCCCUGGCCGCCCCUCCUCUUCUCCCACUAAGGCCCAUUAGGCCCAAUAUACUCCCCGGUACUCCGAAAAAUACCCGAAUCACCCGGAACCUUUCCGAUGUCCGAAUAUAGUCGUCCAAUAUAUCGAUCUUUACGUCUCGACCAUUUCGAGACUCCUCGUCAUGUCCCCGAUCUCAUCCGGGACUCCUAACUACCUUCGGUACAUCAAAUCACAUAAACUCAUAAUACCGAUCGUCACCGAACGUUAAGCGUGCGGACCCUACGGGUUCGAGAACUAUGCAAACAUGACCGAGACACGGCUCCGGUCAAUAACCAAAAGCGGAACAUGGAUGCUCAUAUUGGCUCCCACAUAUUCUACGAAGAUCUUUAUCGGUCAAACCGCAUAACAACAUACAUUGUUCCCUUUGUCAUCGGUAUGUUACCUGCCCGAGAUUCGAUCGUCGGCAUCUCAAUACCUAGUUCAAUCUCGUUACCGGCAAGUCUCUUUACUCGUUCCAUAAUGCAUCAUCCCGCAACUAACUCAUUAUUCACAUUGCUUGCAAGGCUUAUAGUGAUGUGCAUUACCGAGAGGGCCCAGAGAUACCUCUCCGACAAUCGAAGUGACAAAUCCUAAUCUCGAAAUACGCCAACUCAACAAGUACCUUCGGAGACACCUGUAGAGCACCUUUAUAAUUGCUACCUCUUGAGCACUGCGUUGGUUUUCCCUUGAAGAGGAAAGGGUGAUGCAGUAAAGUAGCGUAAGUAUUUCCCUCAGUUUUUGAGAACCAAGGUAUCAAUCUAGUAGGAGAUGAUGCACGAGUCCCUCGUACCUACACAAGCAAAUAAGAACCUCGCAACCAACGCGAUAAAGGGGUUGUCAAUCCCUCAACGGUCACUUACGAGAGUGAGAUCUGAUAGAUAUGAUAAGAUAAUAUUUUUGGUAUUUUUAUAAUAAAGAUGCAAAGUAAAAUAAAGGCAAUAAAAAUAGCUAAGUGUUGGAAGAUUAAUAUGAUGGAAAAUAGACCCGGGGGCCAUAGGUUUCACUAGUGGCUUCUCUCGAGAGCAUAAGUAUUAUGGUGGGUGAACAAAUUACUGUUGAGCAUAGUUAUGAGAAUAUCUAGGUAUGAUCAUGUAUAUAGGCAUCACGUCCGCGACAAGUAGACCGACUCCUGCCUGCAUCUACUACUAUUACUCCACACAUCGACCGCUAUCCAGCAUGCAUCUAGAGUAUUAAGUUCAUAAGAACAGAGUAACGCUUUAAGCAAGAUGACAUGAUGUAGAGGGAUAAACUCAUGCAAUAUGAAAUAAACCCCAUCUUGUUAUCCUCGAUGGCAACAAUACAAUACGUGCCUUGCUGCCCCUACUGUCACUGGGAAAGGACACCGCAAGAUUGAACCCGAAGCUAAGCACUUCUCCCAUUGCAAGAAAGAUCAAUUUAGUUGGCCAAACCAAACUGAUAAUUCAAAGAGACUUGCAAAGAUAACCAAUCAUACAUAAAAGAAUUCAGAGAAGAUUCAAAUAUUGUUCAUAGAUAAACUUGAUCAUAAACCCACAAUUCAUCGGUCUCAACAAACACACCGCAAAAGAAGAUUACAUCGAAUAGAUCUCCACGAGAAUCGUGGAGAACUUUGUAUUGAGAUCCAAAGAGAGAGAAGAAGCCAUCUAGCUAAUAACUAUGGACCCGAAGGUCUGAGGUAAACUACUCACACAUCAUCGGAGAGGCUAUGGUGUUGAUGUAGAAGCCCUCCGUGAUCAAUGCCCCCUCCGGCGGAGCGCCGGAAAAGGCCCCAAGAUGGGAUCUCACGGGUACAGAAGGUUGCGGCGGUGGAAUUAGGUUUUUGGCUCCGUAUCUGGUAGUUUGGGGGUACGUAGGUAUAUAUAGGAGGAAGAAGUACGUCGGUGGAGCAACGUGCGCCCCACGAGGGUGGAGGGCGCGCCCAGGGGGGUAGGCGCGCCCCCCGACCUCGUGCCCUCCUGGUUGAUUUUUUGACGUAGGGUCCAAGUCCUCUGGAUCACGCUUGUUCUAAAAAUCAUGUUCCCGAAGGUUUCAUUCCGUUUGGACUCCGUUUGAUAUGCUUUUUCUGAGAAACACUGAAAUAGGCAAAAACAGCAAUUCUGGGCUGGGCCUCCGGUUAAUAGGUUAGUCCCAAAAAUAAUAUAAAAGUGUAUAAUAAAGCCCAUUAACAUCCAAAACAGAAUAUAAUAUAGCAUGGAACAAUAAAAAAUUAUAGAUACGUUGGAGACGUAUCAAGCAUCCCCAAGCUUAAUUCCUGCUCGUCCUCGAGUAGGGAAAUGAUAAAAACAGAAUUUUUGAUGUGGAAUGCUACUUAGCAUAAUUUUCAAUGUAAUUCUCUUAAUUGUGGUAUGAAUAUUCAGAUCCGAAAGAUUCAAGACAAAAGUUUAAUAUUGACAUAAAAAUAAUAAUACUUCAAGCAUACUAACUAAGCAAUCAUGUCUUCUCAAAAUAACAUGGCCAAAGAAAGUUAUCCCUACAAAAUCAUAUAGUCUGGCUAUGCUCUGAUAAAAAGGACGGAGAUUAUUUUUGGAAUAUUUGGAGAAUAUGGGAAGGAAAAUCCACGCGAGACGGUGCCAGAGGGAGGCACGAGGCAGGGGCGUGCCCCACCCCCCUGGGCGCGCCCCUGACCCUCGUGGGCUUACCGUAAGGCGGUUGAUGCCCUUCUUCGGCUGCAAGAAAGCUAAUUUUUAGGGAAAAAUCACGGCAAAGAUUUCAGUCCAAUCGGAGUUACGGAUCUCCAUAUAUAUACGAAACGGUGAAAGGGCAGAAGAGGAGAACGCAGAAACAGAGAGAGACAGAGAGACAGAUCCAAUCUACCAGAGGGGAAACCCUUCUCCCAUCUAGGGAGGAGGUCAAGGAAGAUGAAGAAGAAGAAGGGGGGCCCUCUCCCCCUCUCUUCCGGUGGCGCCGGAACACCGCCGGGGCCAUCAUCAUCACCGUAAUCUUCACCAACAACUUCACCGCCAUCAUCACCAACUCUUCCCCCCUGUGACACCCGGAUAAUUAAGCUACAGUAAUCCUCUACUAAUGUUGCCACGUCACCACGAUUACUAUUGAUAAUCUCACGAUGAUUCAAAACUCGUUCAAAUUAAAAUUUGAAAUAAAGUCAAACUAGAAGAGUUUUCAAAAGUCAAAACUAAAAUGCUCUAAAUGUAGCAAGUAAUUCAUAAUAAAUAUUGGUGGAGAAACCAAACCUUUAAAACAUGUUCAAAUGCUCAAAAGUAAUUAACCCAGUGGCUAAAACAAUUAAAUAAAUGACUUUUGUAUUUUAUAAAAUCCUAAACUAAUUGAUUUGGAAGUCAAGCUUUUAUGGCAGAGGCUUAAUUUACAACACUAAUUUAGGCGCUAAUUAUUUAUCUUAAUAGAGUUAAAUUAAAUUGGAAGAUAAAAGAAAACAGAAAAGAAAACAAAGAAAAAGUGAAAACAAAACAAAAGAAAAACGAAGAAAAGCCCCCCCGGGCUUCGGCCCAGCUGACCACAGGCCCAACUGGGCCAAGCAACCAGGCCAACCGCCGGCCCACCCUNNNNNNNNNNNNNNNNNNNNNNNNNNNNNNNNNNNNNNNNNNNNNNNNNNNNNNNNNNNNNNNNNNNNNNNNNNNNNNNNNNNNNNNNNNNNNNNNNNNNNNNNNNNNNNNNNNNNNNNNNNNNNNNNNNNNNNNNNNNNNNNNNNNNNNNNNNNNNNNNNNNNNNNNNNNNNNNNNNNNNNNNNNNNNNNNNNNNNNNNNNNNNNNNNNNNNNNNNNNNNNNNNNNNNNNNNNNNNNNNNNNNNNNNNNNNNNNNNNNNNNNNNNNNNNNNNNNNNNNNNNNNNNNNNNNNNNNNNNNNNNNNNNNNNNNNNNNNNNNNNNNNNNNNNNNNNNNNNNNNNNNNNNNNNNNNNNNNNNNNNNNNNNNNNNNNNNNNNNNNNNNNNNNNNNNNNNNNNNNNNNNNNNNNNNNNNNNNNNNNNNNNNNNNNNNNNNNNNNNNNNNNNNNNNNNNNNNNNNNNNNNNNNNNNNNNNNNNNNNNNNNNNNNNNNNNNNNNNNNNNNNNNNNNNNNNNNNNNNNNNNNNNNNNNNNNNNNNNNNNNNNNNNNNNNNNNNNNNNNNNNNNNNNNNNNNNNNNNNNNNNNNNNNNNNNNNNNNNNNNNNNNNNNNNNNNNNNNNNNNNNNNNNNNNNNNNNNNNNNNNNNNNNNNNNNNNNNNNNNNNNNNNNNNNNNNNNNNNNNNNNNNNNNNNNNNNNNNNNNNNNNNNNNNNNNNNNNNNNNNNNNNNNNNNNNNNNNNNNNNNNNNNNNNNNNNNNNNNNNNNNNNNNNNNNNNNNNNNNNNNNNNNNNNNNNNNNNNNNNNNNNNNNNNNNNNNNNNNNNNNNNNNNNNNNNNNNNNNNNNNNNNNNNNNNNNNNNNNNNNNNNNNNNNNNNNNNNNNNNNNNNNNNNNNNNNNNNUCAGCCCCGACGGGCGCCCACGCCCGUUACCACGCGCCCGCCCCGGUCGGCCUCCUGGGCCACUGCCGGGUGGGGCCCGAUGCCCCUGGGCCACUGACCUAGGGGCCCCACACCCCUAAAACGAAAAUAAAAAAAGAAAUGAAAAUGUAAUUAAUAAAAUUAUUAAUUAGUUAAUUAAUUAAGUUAAUUAAUCCUGUUUAAAUUAAUUUAAUUAAUUAGUUAAUUUAAUUAAACAGAAUUAAUUAGCUAAACCCUAAUUAAACUAAGCAGUGUAUGACAUGCGGGACCCACACGUAGUUGACCCAGUCAACUGCACAGUUGACUGCUGACGUCAGCAUGAUGUCAUGCUGACGUCAUCUUUUACUAUUCUGGAUAAUGUUGAUUUAAAAUGAUUAAAUAAAUCCUAAAAUGAUUAAAUCUUUAGAAAAUCAUAUAAAAUAAUCCGUAUCUCGGAUGAAAAUACUUUCUACAUGAAAGUUGCUCAGAACGACGAGACGAAUCCGGAUACGCAGCCCGUUCGUCCGCCACACAUCCCUAACAUAUCGAACUCGCAACUUUCCCCCUCUGUUUCAUCUGACCGAAAAUGCGAAACAUCGGGAAUACUUUCCCGGAUGUUCCCCCCCUUCGCCGGUACCACCUACUGCCGCGUUAGGGCACACCUAGCACCGCUCAUUGUCAUGUCACGCAUCGUCAUGCUUAUGUUUGCAUUGUAUUUACUGUUUCUUCCCCCUCUUCUCUCCGGUAGACUACGAGACCGACGCUGCUACUGCCCAGUUCGACUACGGAGUUGACGACCCCUCCUACUUGCCAGAGCAACCAGGCAAGCCCCCCCCCCUUGAUCACCAGAUAUCGCCUAUUCUUCUCUAUACUGCUUGCAUUAGAGUAGUGUAGCAUGUUACUGCUUUCCGUUAAUCUUAUCCUAAUGCAUAGCCUGUCAUUGUUGCUACAGUUGUUACCCUUACCUGCUAUCCUACUUCUUAGUAUAGGAUGCUAGUGUUCCAUCAGUGUCCCUACACUCUUGUCCGUCUGCCAUGCUAUACUACUGGGCCGUGAUCACUUCGGGAGGUGAUCAUGGGUAUAUACUAUAUACUUUAUAUACAUGACACAUGUGGUGACUAAAGUCGGGUCGGCUUGUUGAGUACCCGCAAGUGAUUCUGAUGAGGGGGCUGAAAGGACAGGUGGCUCCAUCCCGGUAGAGGUGGGCCUGGGUUCCUGACGGCCCCCGACUGUUACUUUAUGGCGGAGCGACAGGGUAGGUUGAGACCACCUAGGAGAGAGGUGGGCCUGGCCCUGGUCGGCGUUCGCGGAUACUUAACACGCUUAACGAGAUCUUGGUAUUUGAUCUGAGUCUGGCCAUUUGGUCUAUACGCACUAACCAGCUACGCAGGAACAGUUAUGGGCACUCGACGUCGUGGUAUCAGCCGAAGCUCUUCUUGACAUCAGCGACGGAGCGGCGCACGCCGGAUUGGACUGGAACGCCUGCUAGGCUAGGUCUGCUUCCGGCCGCCCUCGCAACGUGCAGGUGUGCAAUGGGCGAUGGGCCCAGACCCCUGCGUGCAUAGGAUUUAGACCGGCGUGCUGACCUCUCUAUUGAGCCUAGGUGGGGCUGCGACAUGUUGAUCUUACGAGGCCGGGCAUGACCCAGAAAAGUGUGUCCGGCCAAAUGGGAUCGAGCGUGUUAGGUUAUGUGGUGCACCCCUGCAGGGAAGUUUAUCCAUUCGAAUAGCCGUGUCCCUCGGUAAAAGGACGACCCGGAGUUGUACCUUGACCUUAUGACAACUAGAACUAGAUACUUAAUAAAACACACCCUUCCAAGUGCCAGAUAUAACUCGGUGAUCGCUCUCUAACAGGGCGACGAGGAGGGGAUCGCCGGGUAGGAUUAUGCUAUGCGAUGCUACUUGGUGAACUUACCAUCUACUCUCUUCUACAUGCUGCAAGAUGGAGGUGGCCAGAAGCGUAGUCUUCGACAGGAUUAGCUAUCCCUCUCUUAUUCUGGCAUUCUGCAGUUCAGUCCACUGAUAUGGCCCUUUACACAUAUACCCAUGCAUAUGUAGUGUAGCUCCUUGCUUGCGAGUACUUUGGAUGAGCACUCACGGUUGCUUUUCUCCCUCUUUUCCCCUUUCUAUACCUGAUUGUCGCAACCAGAUGCUGGAGUCCAGGAGCUAGAGAUCUCGAGGAUGAUUCUACAUGGAGUUCGGCUUCGAGGAGUAGUUAGGAGGUCCCAGGCAGGAGGCCUUGCCUUUUCGAUCGUUGCUACUUUUGUGCUAGCCUUCUUAAGGCAAACUUGUUUAACUUCUGUCUGUACUCAGAUAUUGUUGCUUCCGCAGACUCGUCUAUGAUCGAGCACUUGUAUUCGAGCCCUCGAGGCCCCUGGCUUGUAUUAUGAUGCUUGUAUGACUUAUUUAUGUUGUACAGUUGUGUUGUGAUAUCUUCCCGUGAGUCCCUGAUCUUGAUCGUACACAUUUGCGUGCAUGAUUAGUGUACGGUCGAAUUGGGGGCAUCACACCCCCUCUAUGCACCAGUGUAACCUCUCUCUUACCCGCUGUAAUCUCUACUUAAACAUGGUGCUCAACGCUAUAUAUUAUUUCCCAAUGAUGUAUGGCUAUCCUAUGAUGUUUGAGUAGAUCUGUUUUGUCCUAUGGGCUAUUUGAUGAAACACAAACCCGAGUAAGGGGGUUGUUGCGUAUGGGAUAAAGAGGACUUGGUGCUUUAAUGCUAUGGUUGGAUUUUACCUUAAUGAUCUUUAGUAGUUGCGGAUGCUUGCUAGAGUUCCAAUCAUAAGUGCAUAUGAUCCAAGUAGAGAAAGUAUGUUAGCUUAUGCCUCUCCCUCAAAUAAAAUUGCAAUAAUGAUUACCGGUCUAGUUAUCGAUUGCCUAGGGACAAAUAACUUUCUCGUGACAAAAAGCUCUUUACUAAAACUAACUUAGUUGUGUCUUCAUCUAAAUAGCCCCUACUUUUUAUUUACGUGCUCUUUAUAUUCUUGCAAACCUAUCCAAAAACACCUACAAAGUACUUCUAGUUUCAUACUCGUUCUAGGUAAAGCAAACGUCAAGCGUGUGUAGAGUUUUAUCGGUGGUCGAUAGAACUUGAGGGAAUAUUUGUUCUGCCUUUAGCUCCUCAUUGGGUUCGACACUCUUACUUAUCGAAAGAGGCUACAAUUGAUCCCAUAUACUUGUGGGUUAUCAAGACCUUUUUCUGGCGCCGUUGCCGGGGAGUCAUAGCGUGGGGUGAAUAUUCUCGUGUCUGCUUGUUUGCUUUAUCACUAAGUAAUUUUUAUUUGCUGUUCUUAGUUGUUUUCUAUCUUUAGUUAUGGGUAGGAAACUCAAAAUACCAAAAAAAUUAGUUGUACCUACUGAACCAAUGUUUGAAGAACCACUCAAAAUCUAUCACACUCCUGAAGCUUAUUACUUGGAUCAUCUUCGAUCCCUAUGUGCUCGUGCUGAAACCCCAACUAGCUUAGUUGAGGGCAGAUCUUUAGAUGAGCAUGCUUGUUAUGUGCGACACCGCAUAUCUGAAAAAGGGAAACGUUUACUGGAUCAAAUUCAUCGUUUGCAAUGCUAUGCUUGGAAUUUAUGUGAAAUAUAUGAUGUUACUUGUUGUUCUGAAAACCCUAAGAAACACCUUCCCUACCAAUGUGAGUUUAUUGAUAAUUGAAUCGUAUCUUCGUAUGCUAAGGGUGUUUAUAAUUACUAUGAUGUUCAACAAAUUGAAGAAUUUGUUGCUUUUAAGGGUGCUUACGAGAUUGCUUCUUUGAUUGAAACGUAUGAUGCUACGCUUUACAAAUCUGAAAAUUUUGCCAUACUUAAAUAUUGCUAUGAUAAUUAUGCUUCUAAUGCCUAUGUUGAACCAUAUAUUGAGGACUACUUCGCUGUCCAAGAAGAGACUAAUAUUUUGCAGGAGUCUAUGGAAGAAGAAAUUGAUGAAACUGUGAGCUCAUUGGAUGAAAAAGAUGAUGAGGAGAGCGAAGAACAAAAGGAGGAACAGCGGAUUAGCUACCCGUGCCCACCUUCUAAUGAGAGUAACUCUUCAACUCAUACAUUGUUUAUUUUCCCUUCAUGCUUACCGAAGGAUGAUUGCUAUGAUGACUAUUAUGAUCCCAUUGAUUCUCUUGCAAUAUCCUUUUAUGAUGAUGCUUGCUAUGCUUGUGGCCAAGAUGCCAAUAUGAAUUAUGCUUAUGGAGAUGAACUUUCUAUAGUUCCUUAUGUUAAACAUGAAAUUGUUGCUAUUGCACCCACGCAUGAUAGUCCUAUUAUCUUUUUGAAUUCUCCCAACUACACUAUAUCGGAGAAGUUUACCCUUAUUAAGGAUUAUAUUGAUGGGUUGCCUUAUACCGUUACACAUGAUGAUUUAGAUGAAUAUAAUAUGCAUGUGCUUGCUGCUCCUACUUUCAAUUAUUAUGAGAGAGGAACUAUAUCUCCACCUCUCUAUGUUUCCAAUACGAUAAAAUUGCAAGAAACUGUUUAUACUAUGCACUGGCCUUUACUUUGUGUGCAUGAAUUGUUCUUUUAUGACAUAUGCCGAUGCAUAAGAAGAGAGUUAGACUUCGUCAUUGCUUGAUAUAUGUUGUUUCGUGCUCACUACUAAAUGCCAAAUCAUUGCUAAUUAAAAUUGGCUUUGAUAUACCUUGGGAUCCGGGUGGAUUCACUACUUGAGCACUAUAUGCCUAGCUUAAUGGCUUUAAAGAAAGCGCUGCCUGGGAGACAACCCAGAAUUUUUAGAGAGUCAUUUAUUUCUGUUGAGUGCUUUCAUAUAGUUUUAAAAAAAUAAAGAGGGGAACCCGAAACUUUUCAAAAA